Molecule: long non-coding RNA, 53953 nt
Filed under: Brassica napus (rape)
Lineage: Eukaryota; Viridiplantae; Streptophyta; Magnoliopsida; Brassicales; Brassicaceae
Description: long non-coding RNA (BNAP_LNC019383)
Source: RNAcentral
UCUUCCUUCUUUUACUCGUGUUUCUAAUAACGCACCAAACUGAAACCCUUGAUCCUGUACCCACUUCUUCACUACUGAAUGUUUGAUUGAUUUGUUGAAACCUCUAACAUUCCAGAAGAAACUCGACAUAUUAUUUCUUCUUUUGGGAACGUUUUUUGCCUACUGCACUAGGAAGUCCUUCCUUUGUGCUUAAGGCAGCCAUUUUCUUUGAUGACCGGAUUUGGGUUUUUGAUAGCCGAGGAACAGAUGGUCGAAGUGGACACUCAACUCUUUCAGACUUCCCCGCUUUCCCUAUAUUCUGAUUGAGAAGUUCAUCAGUUCCAGUUUCAUCCCCUGAAACCUCUCCUGAGAUCUCUUCCGUUCCGAUACUUCUUCUAAAGUAUUUGUCAAGGCUUCUAACAUUUCACCAUCGUCCUUUUCGUUACCCUCUUUAUCCUUCUUUUCCUCUGUUAUUUCACCCUCUUCCUUUUCGUUUUCCUCUUUUUCCUUCUUUUCCCCUGUUUCAUCUUGUCCCUCCCGCACAUCAUUUUUUCCCUCCUCUUGCAGCACUGCAAAGCGAGAUGGUGAGAUCACAUUUGUGUGUUGUACUCCCAGCUUAACUCCUAGCCGACCAUGUUUGGAUGGAGAUACAUCCUUCCAGACCCCUUCAGUAUUUUCCUCCACUACACGUGUUUGCACGGGUGCACUUGUUUCUGCAGCCGGUGAUUCGCUUAUGACCUCUGCUUCCAUAUCACGAUCUGUUUUGCCUUUUGUCACAUUCCUUGUUGUAAACUCUUCAGUCUCUUCUUUCUCCGUAUUCUCCUUGGUACUUGCCUGAGAGUUUUCCAUGUUAGCACUCUGAACCGGCACAACACUUUCCUUCGCAGAGGUAUUUUGCCUCGUCAAUAUUUUGACCUUCGAUUUGCAAGCUCUAUGUGUAUGUCCCCAUUUGGAACAGAUAGUACAUUUAUCAGGGAGCCAGGGGUAGAUAAACUCCACCUCUGCAUCAACUCCUAGCUUUGAUUUGAACCGAUGUGAUUUAGGCAACUCCUUCGUCAUAUCAGCUUCCACAAACACUUUUGCUUCUUCAAAGCUUGUGCAUAGUAUAGUAUCCGGGUGCAGUCUCUUCGGCUUGCCAACCGCACUAGCUAUGAAGCCUAGUCCCUUCCAUGAGAACAUCCUGUGAGGAACAUUUUUCAUUGUAAUCCACAUUGGUAUUACUUUGAUCUCUUCUUCCUCAUCUACUUCUACUACCGGAGACCACUUUGAUAAGACCAUUGGGAUGUUAGCAAUGUUCCACAUACCUCUGCGUAGAACUCUCUUCCUCGUAGCCAAAUCUUUAAUCCGGAACUUGACUGUAACUUCAUUAACUGGAAACACAUCGAUCUUGAUAGAUUGAUUUCCCAGUGGCCAAAUCUUAUUCACGAUAACGUGAAUCUUAGCAACGUGUGGGGCAGGAGCUAGGAACCGCCCUUCCAGUAGAUCAUCCCAGAGAGGGAUCGUAUCUUGUAUUACUGCAUCUGGGACUUUUACAACUUCCUUUCCCUCCACCAUCUCCAUGUCGAAAGCGUGCUCAGAGAGAGAUGGACCAUUUGUCACCGCUUUAACAUAAGACGAAUGUUUUCCCUGAACGUUGGACGGAUCUAACACAGGCAUAACCGACGAUUCCGACUCCUCCGAAGCCAUGACGGCCGUUUGUAACCCUGCGGCGCUGAAGACUCUCACCAAAACCGUAAUCGCCAAGAGAAUCGCCCUUUUGCUGACGUGGAAUCGCACUCUCGGCCUCUAUUAACGAUCACUUUUUAUUGGUUUGUCCUUUUUUCCUGGACAUGUGUGAAUGAAAUGCUGGCCACAUAUUCAAGUGUGGUGGAUAAUAUCACAGCAUCUUGGCUUCGGUGCAGACAAUGGCUCUGGUGCACGGGGCAGGGGUCAUAGAGGUCGCCUGUAACUUGCUGAAUCCAAGCCAUGUCGGAGGAGAUGAUGUUCAAGGACUGAUCGAGAGGCUUGGCAGAGAGGAAGGUCUGCUUGUGGGAAAAGGGUAUUAUACUGACUAUACAGCCGACCAGAUCACUCAACGAUACAAGGACUUGCUCAUCAAAAAUUCAUAUCAUACAUAAGUUGUUUGUGUUCAAAAUAAGAAGUUUUAAAGUUGUUUUUGUUUUUUUGUGUUAAAAGAUUAAUGUCACUGGGUUUCUAAUACAUGGCCUUUUUAAGUAGCUUGACAAACUUGACCAUAAAGUCAAAAAACAAUAUGAUGUUGUCAUUCCCACGUCCAUCAUAUACGUAUCUCUUUUUUUUUGUGCGGUUAAGUGUGUUUUAUGUAUUGUUAUUAUCAUGACUCUAAACUGAAAUGAGCGGAGAUUAAAUUAAUUGAAAGGAUAGAAUAUGAGAUUAGUUCAUAUGGUAAGAUGCAAAAAUAUCAAUAAAUCCCAUCAUUGGUGUUUUGUCUCAAAAUGAUGAUUGUAAGAGGGAUGCCCUGCCCUUUGCCUUAUAGUUCUUAAAGCUGAUCUCUUGCGAUUUAUACCUUUUGUGUGUUUCCACACUUGCUCAAGUGUAUAGCAAAUUGGCAAUGCAUGCAAGUCAUCGAACAACUGGGUUAAUAGAUAUCUAAAGUUACAUGUGGCCUUGGGACGAUGUAGUAGUAGUAGUAGUUGAGAUCUCUGUCAUUCAAAUCCGUACUAUAAGUUGUGGUGUAUAUCAUCUUUUUUUUUGAGCAAACCAAAUGAGAUUACUUAAACAUAAAACGGUUCUACAAGGCUCCAUCCGAGUCAAUGGGAAAGAGGGCUGCUUUAGCAAGCAAGUCAGCCUCCACAUUUUUUAAACGCGGGACAAAUAUAAAUGAGAUAGAGGAAAAAGAGCGAGCCAACACAUUGAUGUCAUGGAGAACGCCUUUCAACACCACAUCCUGUCCUUGAUUCUUCAAGAGCGAAACGAGGUUUUUAGAGUCGGAGUAGACACGAAUGCUACUGACAUGUGAAGAGAUUGCAGCGGUGAUUGCCGCUUUGACCGCCAAAGCUUCGGCCACAAGAGCCGAAGGAACAUAACGCCAGUACGAGGAGGAUCUUUCUGUAACAGCAUUGUCGGCAUCACGAAGGAGCCAGCCAAUCCCGCAGUUCCAUGUCGAUGGGUUCCAAGCUGCAUCUGAAUAAGAUGACCAAGUGUAAGAGUUAGCAACUGGUAACUGAGAAAGAUGGACCACACACUGUGGUAUAGAAGGCAUUUUAUCACACGAUUGAGCAGCCUUCCACGCUCGAGCAUCUUGGAGGGCUUUAAGCACAGUGUCUUGUUCAGAAAAGACCCUAUUUUCAAACAUCAGCUUGUUCCUAUUUGUCCAAAGAAUCCAAAGAAUCCAUGGAUAUAGUGGGGUUGUUCCUAGACCCGAUGGGGGGAGAGAGAGCAUUCUCCUACAUUGCUGCAAGAGAGAAGAUAUCGAGUUUGUAUUAUCCACUGACGGUUUGAACAUACACGGGACUAGGUCCCAGACUUUAGCCGCAAACGGGCAUUUUAGCAGGACGUGAAGCUCCGUCUCCACUGCUCCACAUCUCUUGCAGGCGACCUCCGACGAUAAACCUCGAGCUUGUAAAACAGAGCCAACAGGGAGUGCUCUGUUAUUAGCCUUCCACAUGAAAUGUUUGAUUUUUGGGGAAGUAUCCACCUGCCAAAUGCACUUCUUCCACUUGAAAGUCCUGUCUUCCUGUGUUCCGUUGCAGAGUUUAGCCACCGCAUAACCUGAUUUUGUAGUAUAUUCUCCCGACGCAUUGGGGAGCCAAACCAAUUCAUCGGGCGCUUGCAGUGCACUUGGGAUCAGUCUGCGGAUGAAGUUCUCAUAAUGUGGUAAGGUUUCCCUGAUAGCCUCAACGUCCCACUCGUUGGUUCCUGGUGUUAUGAGACUACUGACGCACCAGGCUUGGUUGGUAACAGUAGGGGGGCCAACUGGAGCCAUCGGUUCACUGGUAGAUAACCAAGGUUCCGCCCAUAUGUUAACGUCCUUGCCUGAUCCAAUAGCCCAUCCUAUGCCUUUCCUCAGCAGGUCCCGCCCUACAAGAAUCCCUCUCCAGCCAUGGGAGGCGCUCGAGGGAACUUGGGCCUCAAGGAAAGACUCAUGAACACAAUACUUCCCUGUGAGAGUCUUUGCCAGUAGAGAGGUUGGGUUCUUCAUGAUCCUCCACGAGAGUUUUGCUAACAUUGCAUCAUUGAAUUGUUCGAUCUCUCUAAACCCCAGUCCUCCUGCGCUUUUAGGUUUUGUGAGCUUUUGCCACGAUACCCAACACAUCUUCCUAACCUCCGGGGAGAUAUCCCACCAGAACCUCGUUAACACUGAUUGGAUCUGCUUGCACAGCGACAAAGGCAAUUUGAAGCAAGACAUGGAGUAAAUGGGCAUCGCUGCUAGCACAGAUUUGAGAAGAAUCAGUUUUCCAGCUCCCGUGAGAAACCUAGUUGUCCAGCUAUGUGAGCGUUGGCGAAUACGAUCGACCAGUGACGCAAAGACGUCUCGUUUCUUCCGGCCGAAGUGUUCCGGUAAACCGAGAUAUUUUCCAAGUCCUCCUUCAUUUAGGAUCUGUAGCUGAUCUCUGAUCCUCCUCUUAGCUUCCCCUGGCGUCUUGGCUGAGAAUGUUAUUGCUGAUUUCUCCAAAUUAAUGAACUGACCGGAGGCUUCUUCAUACUUCUUUAAGAUAGCGAUUAAGGCAGCACAACUUCUGUGAUCCGUCCUGGUGAAGAACAUGGUAUCGUCGGCGAAAAGUAGGUGGUUGAUUGCUGGAUUACUGCGCGCUACUUUCACCCCGACCACCUCCCCUUUCUGCUGCGCUUUCCUACACAGGCCCGAAAGCACUUCUGUGCACAGGAUGAAAAGAUAUGGGGAGAGGGGGUCUCCUUGCCGGAUUCCUCUAGUAGGCAUCACUUUCCCUUGUGCAGCACCAUUUACUAGAUAAGAGUACGAGACGGAGGUGACGGACGUCAUUAUCCAGGAUAUCCAUAGUUCAUGAAAACCAAACCGAGACAAGACGUUACGUAAGAACCCCCAUUCUAUACGGUCAUAAGCCUUGCUCAUGUCGGUCUUUAUAGCCAUGCUGCAUCGGACCUUAGCCUCAGAGUGUUGAAGGUAGUGCAAAAUCUCAUGCGUAAUCAGAACAUUAUCUGAAAUCGCUCGCCCUUUAACAAAGGCCGACUGGUGAUCGGAGAUAAGGGCUGGGAGGAACGGCUGCAGGCGCCGGGUAAGGAGCUUCGCUAUAAUCUUGUAAUGUGUGUUACACAGAGCAAUCGGGCGAUAAUCUGCUACCUUCCUUGGUCCUGUGACUUUCGGAAUCAGACGUACAUGUGUUUCGUUUUGUCUUGGAUCCAAGGUGUUUGAGAUGAAGAAGGCUUGGAUAUCCUUAGCUACAUCCUCCCCUAGAAUAUCCCAAAAAUUCUGAUAGAAGCUAGCCGAGAAGCCAUCGGGGCCCGGUGCUUUGUCCGGAUUAAUAGAGAAAAGUGCCUCCCUUAUCUCGAAAGGGCUCAGGAUAGCUAUCAAUGUCGUGUUCAUCUCUGCAGUAACUAAGGGAGUGAUCCCUUCAUGAACCACCUGAUAUGAAUCUGACAUUUGAGCUGAGAAUAUCCGAGAGUAAUAGUCUGUGAUGCACUGCACAAUCUCCUGCUCCUUGAACCUCGCUUUACCUUCAACAUCCUCUAGGACCGAGAACCUAUUGACAGCUCGUCUGCCAUGAGUCGCCGCAUGAAAGUAAGAUGUGUUCCGGUCGCCGCAUUGUAGCCAGAGAAUCCUGCUCCUCUGUCUCCAAAAAAGCUCUUCCUCCUUGUAUGCUGAUUCGAGCGUUGUAGUGAGUUCUCCAAUAAGCAUGGCGUCCGGUACCGGGUUAGAGAGAGCUUCUUCCAGUCUUUGCUGAGCCGAUUGUAUCGCUCUGUUGCUGUUAAGGUUUUGCUCCCGCGUCCACUUAAUGAUGCUGUGUCUGAUGUUUCCAAUUCUCGUCAAGACAGAGUCAAGCGGUUCCUUCUUCCAUUGGGCCUCCACCAGUUGUCUCACCUUUGGUUUGUCCUUCAGUCGUCGAUCAAAGUGAAACAAGCCCUUCUUCCUUCGAGUCGAGACGUCGAAGUGGACUACUAUUGGACGGUGGUCAGAGCCUUCAAAGCGUAAAUACUCACAGCGACCUGCCGGGAACCGUUCAAACCAGGAGCAGUUUGCCAUGGCCCGAUCAAGUCGUGACUGAAUGAAGUAAUUGUAUCUUGUACCCCGCCAAGAUAAAUGAUUACCAGAAUGUUGAAAAUCCCUUAAACCCAUUUGGGAUACAAAGCUUCUAAAGGAUAGGAAGGAUCCUUCCCAACGGAUUGGACCGCCCACCUUCUCCGAGUUAUCGAGGAGAUCAUUAAAAUCUCCGGUGAGGAGCCAAGCUUCUUCUCUCUCAGCUCCUAGCUCUGUCAACUUACUCCAGAAGGCAGGGCGGUCUGACGGGUUUGGAGCCCCAUAAAUGAAGGAAACGAAGCUAGAGGUUCUGUGUGCCUCAAUCUUUGUAUCAAUAAUAUUUGGGGAGGAGAAGAAAAUUUCAACCUGAAGAUCAUCUAUCCAAGAUAAGGAUAUGCCUCCCGCUAAGCCAACAGGGGGGACAGUAAAGUGGUUGGUAAGCGCUGAAUUCUUGAAGUGCUUGAAGAGAGCCUCGUCUUGAUUCUUAGUUUCCAUAAGAAAAAUGACUGCUGGGGAAAUUUUCUUUCGAAAUUCCCUUAUUCGCUGGCCUGUCAAGGGGCUCCCGAUGCCUUGACAGUUCCAGCUCACACACGCUAAGGAAGAGACCCCUGAGGAGGACAAAAAUCCUUCUCCUUGCGUACUCGCGGUGGAAUGAUCGUCGUCAUCGUCGCUGGUGUGGUCUUUUGCUUCUUCUUUGUUUGAGUUCUUACUCCCGCCGUUAUAGCAUCCAUCAUCAGUUUCCUGCGGGGAGAGGGAUGAGCCUUUGUAGUGCGUCUUCUUUUCACCGGAAAACCUUGUGGAGAGUUGCGUGCUGGCCUCUUCUUGUCUUUGGUUUGUGUAGCAACUUUCUUUCCUGCUGCCUUCGAAGACAAAGUCUGUUGGAGUUGUAAAUCAAAAGUGUUAUCCUCCUCAUUCUCCUCAUCCUCUCUAAGAGGACCUAGCCUUAAGGAGACAUGAAUGCGAUCUUCACUUAGUGUUCUGAUAGGGGAUCGUUCACAAAUGCCAAGCCUGCCUGUCUCAAAGAUCGUUGAACUCGACGGGCGAGUAAUGGCUGUAAUGGUCCUUGUACUCGAUGAGGGGCUUAUAGGUAGUUUAUUCUUAUCCUGAUGGGGGACAGCCUCCCCCUCUGUCCUCUCACUGCCACUUGUUCUUCGAGUGUUCACAGAUAGUCUUUCCUUCGUAGAGAUCCUCUCCUCAGUUGAUAGGUUUCCUGAUCGUGGGUCUGAGAGACGUGAAUCUAGGUUCCUUCUCCUCUGUUCCAGAGUUGGGGCAGCCACUGGUGAGCGGUGUGAUGAAGAGAUGGCCUCUCUAGCAGGUGAGACCUGUGAUUGUCGGGGUGGUGCAGGCCCUGUAGAUUCCUUGACCUUGUAGUCUUGAGUCCUACGUGAAGUGGAGAUUCGCUCAUGUGAAUCAUGUUGCGACUGAGUCUCUCUAGAGGUAGAGUAUCUGUAUGCAAGAUGACGAUCAUCAUAACGUCUCCUGUUUUCCUCAAAGUUGAGGCUCUUCCCCAUCUCACUACGAGGGGAAUACUCCCUUGAGGAAAUUUCGAUUUCACGGUUUGCGUUCCUUGAGUUUGUCCAUCGAGCUUCUUUUCGAGCGGGUAGGUUUGGGAAGCGCGAGUAUCGCCUUUCUUCCUGACGCCUUCUUCCUUCUUCAAUUCUCUCUAGAGUAUUCUGUUGCGUAAUGCCCAAGGUUCUUUUGUCUUCUGUGUGUCCUCUAGAAAGGGGGCAUCUGUGUUUCUCACUGUCUUCAUCUGUUAAGGACUUACAGAAGAAACAGUGUUUUCCCAGCUUCUCAUACUCCACUUCCACCUCAACAACUUCACGGGAAGGGAGCUGAAGGUCUAGCUUCAUAAUAAGUGGUUUCAGCGCAUUGAUCUGUACUUUGAACCGAGCUUUAUCCACUUCUCGAUCUUCAAUGGGGCCAAGAAUAGCUCCAAUAGCUUCAAUGGUUUCAUCUUUCCAAUAAUGGAGAGGAAUACCAUGAACUCUGACCCAAAAGGAAAUCAGAGCAGGGAAGGACUCAGAUACAAUCGGUUCCCAUCUUCUCAGUAUGAACAUCCAGUUUUUGAAGUGAAAUGGGGCUUUAGCGAGGAUUUUCUGAAGGUCUUGCUCCGAUUCAAAACAAAACUGGACCAGAGAAGGUCCCAAAUCCCUCCUUGUUAUUCUGCCCACCACAUGCCACUGUUAUAGGAAGAAAUCUACCAGGGCUCUUGUCUUCUGGAUAGAAGGAUUAGUAACCCUACCAAUAAGCGUGAGUUUGUUUCGCUCUAUGAGAUCUGAGACGUUGGUUUCCGGAAUUCUAACUAGAGGUUUCCGAAGAGGAGGGCUUUCCUCUUUCCUUUUUCCUUUCUCAUCCCGUGAGUAUCGACGAGACAUUUUCCUCAACCUGAGUAGCAAACUAGCAAGUUCUUGGAGCAGAGACUACAACCAGUAGUAGAAUGGGUGUGGAGGUGAACCAGCCGUUGAAAGGGACUACAAUCUGUAGUAAGCUGAAGCAAGAACAAGGAGAGGGUUUUUAGAGCUCUCCUGUAACCCUCCAGUACAAGCUUCAGUGAGAAAGGUUUUGUAGCUUCGCAAAGGACUCCAUUGAACUCAGCUUCACUAACCGCGGACUCCACCGGUAAGAAUGGCCGGAGAAGGUGGUCCCUCCGACAAGGUCAGGGGAAGAACUCGGUGUGUAAAGACCAAGGGAGUUUAUUAACCGUCAGAUAAUACCAGAAAAGGUAACCAUUUUGAAUCUUGCAGGACAAAAGUGGGUGGAUCCAAGCCGAAAGGGAAGGUCAACUUCCGGGGUUAACUUUGUGCCCAGCGGUUAAACACAACUAUUGGUAGUUGUGCCUGAGAGAGUUUUUUGUUUUUUUAUGUUAGGAUAUUCUUUGCGGUGUAUAUCAUCAUUUUAUGAUUUUUGAUAAGGAAAAUACAUUUUUAUAUAGGGAAGUUUACUAAAGUGACACAAAUUUAUUGGGUUAUUACUAGAAUAACUCAUAUUUUUAAAAAAUUAUUAGAAUAUUUUUCUGGUCGAAAUUACCCUUCUCCAUAGUUAUAUCAAAAAAACAGAAUUACAAAAGUGCCAUUAAUAAUUGAUCGCUGGCAGAUUUAUUUUCAAAAAAAUAAAUCUGCCGGAUAUUAAGUCUGCUAAUUAAAUCAGUUUAGAAAAUAAAAUCUGUCAAGAGAGUGAUGUCAGAUUUUCUUUAAAAUGGCAGAUUUGUUUAUACGACAGAGUUGUUUGUUCGAUUUAAGUUGAAAACAGAUUUUUAAGGAUAAGUCUACCAAACGAGGUAGCAGAUUUUUUAUAAAUGAUAGAUUCUUUUGUUAGACUUAAUUUUUAUGACAGAUUUGCGUAUCCGAUUUAAAUGGGAUAAUAGAUUUAUUAUAAAUUGUAGAGUUUUGUGUUAGACUUAAAUUUCUAUGUCAGAUUUUUUUAUUUAUGAAUGGGCAGAUUUUUAUAAGGAAAUCCGGGUUUGAAUAAACCAAACUUAAUUUAAUUUUGAAUUAAAUUUGGUUUUCUUUAGUGUCAAAUCCGGUUUAUUUCUAGUGUAACUAAAAUCAGAAUUAUGUUUAAAUUUUUGAAAUUGACGUUAACUUCUUACAUGCACAAGUCAAUAGAAAAAAAUAUUGCAUGCACCAUUUAUAUAAAAUCAUCUUGUUACGUUACACAGAGAAUGAUUUACAUGUAUAACUUUUAUAAAAAAAAUACAUCUUGUUACGAAGGAAUGAUUUUGCUUGUUGAGGUACGGAGGAAAUGAUUUGUUUGGGUCGGUCAAACAAUACUAAUGGUCAAAAGGCCAAACCGUGUUAACGUUGAAACCUAAUUGUACCUAUAACGUUUUGUUCUCAUUCUUCAACUUGUUUACAGGUUAAAGCUGCAAAUAAUAGCAUUGUUCAUGAACAACUCAAUCAAACGGUUGAGAAAUUUGUUCUUUAUCAAUUUGUCUCAUGUUUACAAUUUGUCGAGAAUUUAAUAACCGACGAAGUAUUUAAUAACCGACGAAGUAUUUAAUAACCGACUUCCACUUUCCACCCAAUACCUUAACGGUAUUUCCACUUCUAAAUAAACACUAUACAGACACUAAAGAGUACAAACAUGUAGAUGUCUAUUUACAGAGAACAAGAAGCAAAGUUAAAGAGUAUUGGGUUGAACUCAGAGAGGCCUAAGAUUGUUCUUAGGAGAACUUAUCCCUGGAGUGUCUGCAAUGGAAAAUCUCCAUAAGGCAUUGACAUGUUGAGGUAAUGCGUGAUCCAUCCCGACUCAAGUACCAACCAAUACUUUCUCCACACCAUCCAGAACCUCUAAUCCUCCUGUUUUCACACGUAUUAUUGCACAACAGAUAUUCUUGAGAAAGAGCAAACUCAGAAACACAAGCAACUGAUUUGGUGUAUUUGUUCGUCUAACCAGGAGAAUACAGAGGAUGAUGAGACCACUCUGUUGAAAAUCCAAGCACUUGCCCGACCAGAAAGAGGCACAUAUGAAUGCAGAGUAAGUGAAUAUCCGCAUAGUGUACAGAGCUUGAUGCAAGGUAUAAUUGUAUAAAUUGAUAAAGAUAAGACUAGCCUCUCCUGGUCAAUUUAGAAGAACGGGUUUGUAGGUAAACUGGCCACAACGCUCAUGAAUGGUCUCCAUCCCUGCAAAACUGUCACACCCUAUGAAGCCAACCAAAGAUCUAUAUAAUCAUUUUCUAAUGCAAACAUCGAACAAGCAAAGCAGACACGAAACAAGUAGUAACUUCAAGUUCAAGAUCUAGGAGACACAUAUUGAACUAUACCACACUUGUUACCGACCAAUUCAAAUAUGUAGUUUUACUCAUUCAAAGCACGAUACUUUCAUUAACACAACACAAUCCCUAAAAAUCGAUUGAGGGUUAAAGUUCUGAAAAUCGAUUGAGGGUUAAAGAAAGACACGGGAUUUUACCUUGAAAUCACUCUUGGUUGAAAACGAGCAAUUGUUUUGUCUCUUCGAUUUAAAGGCGGAGACAGAGGUGAAAUCGGAUUCAGGGUUCCUCUUGUCUUACAGAGACGACGGCGAUUCAGGUGGAGGUGACGAAAUGGAAGGAGGCUCUGGCAGAGAAGAAGUUGUCGGAGGCGGAAGUGAAAGAGAGGUGUCCGAUUUGGUGUUGUCGCAAACGAAGAAGACGACUUUCUCCAGUCUCGAUCAAAAGGUUUUGUUUUUCUUUAUAAAAAAAAUAAACAUUUUCCUACUAAUAAUUUCCUAUGGCAAUCUCGUGAAAAAUGAAAGAGAGACUGAUUUUUUGGCAUUUUCGGUUGCUCUGUGCUUUAGUCUAAUAAUUACAAAAGUUUAUGAGUUAGUCUAGUAAUUACGUGUAUGAUUUGAGUCAUUCUAGGUAAUUUCUCUUUUAUAUAUAACCUCUUUAAAUAUGUAGGUUGAGUCGUAGAUAAAAAUGGAGGGUCAAAGGUCUAUAGAAGAAAAAACGUGGAUGAGGUGGAGUUUGGUGCGGCUCGUAACCAACUAACAUGAAUUCUUUAGUUGCCUUUGCAAUAAUAACUCACGUUACACAAGAUGGAGCCUGUAAGGCCAACUCAUGAUGUAGCAUAACAUGCCUAUACAUACAUAAUAACAUUUGACAAAGACAAAUUAAAGUUGGGCCAGCUGUAAAAUUCAACAGUUACAACAACUUUCAUUGACAUUGGAAAUCAUCAAACGUGGAUGUCAAUGUUAAGCCAGGCUAAACUUAGUAGGUUCCAAAUACGGAAGAGGUCUAAAAGCAUUGCACGAGAUACUUAGUCCAGAAACUCUGUUUCUUAAUUUUGGAAACAUUACCAAAUUCCUAAUUCAAAAUAAAUGAGAUUCCCUAAUAAGUCUCUAUGUAUAUAUGCCAACUUGGUCCUCGUAUUCAGAGCAUUUAAAUACACAUAUGUAUAUCAUAUAAAGAUGGGAACGAUGGAGAAUAGGAACCAUAUAUAUACCUAACUGAAAGAAAGAAAAAAAAGGAAGAAAGCAUGCAUUUUACAUAAGAGAGCUCAGAAGUCAGAAAGAAAUGAGGUAGUUACUUACCCUUUUGCGUGCAAAGAGGUAAUUACUUGCUAUUUAUAUUUAUCUGGGUGAAACUGCAAUUAAAAAAGCGUGUAAUUUAUAAUAUAAUCUGUGAGUUUAGAAAAGAGCAUCCUCUGUUCUGCAGUCAGACAAAUUACCUGACAAUCAAUAAGAUUACAGAGUACAACACAUUAUGUACGUUACUUAUGUGUAUAUAUGUUACUUAAAUCCAAAAUUUGAAAGAAGAUAAAAUAUACAUAGUAAUUAAUUAAUGAAAAAAAGGAUCCACAAUUUUUAUGCCCCACGGCUCUCUUGUUUUACUUUGGCCACCUAAUUCGCAUCCGCCAACACUAUCCCAUCAUCUGCGUCUGUCUGUAUUAGAGAGUUUCUUUCUUUCAAAGCCCUCUAAAACCUAAUUCAAAGGACCUUCAAAGUCUCUCUCUCUCUCCCUCUUUUUUUGUUUUACUCCAAAAGGCAAAAGCUGUAUUGCAUGUAACCUUUUGGAGAUAUUUGGAUAUGAAAUUUCAGAUCUAUGCGAAAGUUCCUUUAGGCCUUUUUUUUUCAAAUCUCUUCUGUUCAUAUGUCGAAUUACCUUUUUGUCCCUAGAGAGUUAUGGCUCCUAUAUAAAUAUGUACUAUCAUCAUUCUCUUAAAACUCUCACAAUACGAUACUUUUAGUAGGAGAUCGUAGAUCGGGGAUGGAGAGAGAAUGCGGGUCGAAGAAGACCUUGUUCAGCGAAGAGGAGCUGCAAGAGAUUAGUGGGGUCAUUGUGGGAGAUGAUUACGUGGAGGUGAUGUGUGGCUGCACGAGCCACCGUUACGGAGACGCCAUUGCUAGGCUUAGGGUUUUCUCAGAUGGAGACCUCCAAAUCACUUGCCAAUGCACUCCCGCUUGCCAUGAAGGUCUCUUCUUCUUUUGAUGUUUUUAGCUUAAUGCACGUUACAUGUGAACAUUGCUUUCUUGAUGAUGCAUAUGUUUCAUAUAUGCGCCAGGAAUAAUCUGCCCUAAUAUUUUCUUUUAUACCGUAUCUCCCCGCUUCAGUUCAACUUUUUUUUUGCGAAAAGUGAUCAUCUUGACAGAUUUGAUUUUAUGAUCAUCGUAGACAAGUUAUCGCCUGCUGCCUUUGAGAAGCAUUCUGAGAGAGAAACCUCUAGAAACUGGAGGAACAACGUGUGGGUGUUCAUUGAGGGAGACAAAGUUCCGCUUUCAAAGACAGUGCUGCUCAGAUACUACAACCAAACAUUGAAGAAUAACUCCAACGGAUCCAAAGUGACUCAUCGGGAUGAGUUUGUUGGAUGCAGCAAAUGUGGGAAGGAGAGGAGGUUCAGGUUGAGGAGCAGAGGGGAAUGCCGGAAGCACCAUGAUGCCUUGGCUGAGCCCAAUUGGAAGUGCUGCGAUUACCCAUACCACAAGUGGGACUUUGUUGUUUAUAAGUACUUCAUAUGAAGUAUCAUAGAAAAUGAUUUAACUGAAAUGGUGGUUGUGCAGGAUUACUUGUGACGAGGAGGAAGAGAGAGUGAGCAGGAAAGUUUACAAAGGUUGCACUCGUUCCCCGUCUUGCAAAGGCUGCACUUGCUGUGUUUGCUUCGGCUGCAACCUCUGUCGUUUCGCAGAUUGUAACUGCCAGACUUGCCUGGACUUCAUCACCAACACCAAACCCAUUUGACUUCAUUUCUCUAACUUUUACUUAAAAAUUAUUCAGCAAAGACCUUUUUGUAAUUCUUGAAUGAUGGCUGCUGGAUGCGCCUUUUAAUUAUAUAGCUUUGUUUUUGUGGUAACUGGAGAAACCGAGUAGGAUUCCAAAAACAAACAGAAAGAGUUGUGCUUUGAAAUGAAAGCAAAAAGUACAUGCCUCUUAAAACCAAUUUCAGAGAUGGAAAACACACAAAACUAACAAGAGACAAGCAGUGAACGUUAAAGAGUAUGCAAAGUCCUCUCAAAAUCUCUAUCUAAUUACGAACUAGCAGAGCCAAGACCGAGAGAAAGGUCAGUCAAGCAUGGUGGAAAGAGAUGUAGUAACUAAUGCUGAACAAGGAACUGAUUUGUAAUCUCUACUUGGAGGGACUGAUUUGAACAAAAGAAACUGGCAUCGAGACCAUACAAUUAGAAUGAUCCAAAGCAUAUCACAAUGCUAAAAUCUUGAUAUGUUUCAAUUAUGAAACGCAAAACAGCUACGAAUCAUCAUCAAUUGGAGACAUGAUUAGGAAGGAUCUCAAAAGUGUUUGAUGCAUCAUAGCAGCAUGUAUAUAUAUAUAUAUUAUUUUAAAAGAAAGCAAACAAAGACUGUCAAAGAAGUAAUUUUGCUGGCUUUGUUUGAUACAAGACCAGCACGAGAAGGAGAGCUCUCUUUGUCUUUUCCCAGUGAUAAAUUCAUUGCGCAGGCUUCUGCAAAAGAUGAGUCAAAAUUUUGUAAGGGAGUAGAGGAAGAGAGAGCCACUUUGUUUUGUUUGUUUUGUAAAGGAGGAAGAGAAAGCAAUUACCUCGUCGUCACCUUUACCGCCGGUGAAGAGUUUGUAUCCACUGUAGAAGAGCAAUCCCCAGCCAGAGAGCGAAAUAAGCACGAACUGCAGAUUUGGUUUUCGUCAGAGAAGAAAGGAAUCUAUAAAAGUAAAAAAACACACACAAGAGGAGAUAUGAAAGGUACAUGCUCCUCUUUCCAGUUUCCUGGAUUCGUGGGCUGUUUCCAGAAGUCAACCUUGGUAGAUCCAUGGUGAUCUGCAAACAUUCUCAUUCAAUCAAAUGGACUUGGCAAACAUUUCUCCACCCUCUGAUCUGAUAGGUGGAGGAAUAUGACAAAGAAAUUACGAACCCCAAACAUUAGAUCUAAGCUAAUAUUGGAAGAAGAGAAAGAAGAAAGUACCAGCGGCGCCGGCGAGACCGCGACGCUGACAAACAGAGGCGGGCACACGUGCAGAUGGAAUCUGAGCUAGGCUCAUUGCUCGGCGAGCGAAGGACGCCAUCGAUUUCUGAUUUAGGCUUCGAGAGAGAAGCUUCGCGAGUUUCAGGAGAGAUUAGAUGAUUCUACAAGAGAAAAGAGGCCAGUUUGCACGACAUGGAUUACUUCACUCCACAAGCCCCAUCUAAUAACAGGACCUACUCCCAGCAAACUGGCCUAAUUUAUUCGGCUUGGCGAGUAGAGUCUUCAGCUCGGCUCUAGACUGCUUUUAGCCGUUGGCAAAGCCGACCAAAAACACCCGGUUUGGAAGAACUCUACCCAGACCCGUAUACUCGGCUUCUCUGAACUAAGGCCCGGAGAGGAUCGAAAUUAGGGUAUCAAAGAGAGAAAACCUAUAAAGGAAAAGAAAGGAACAGAAAGAAAAGGAUUGACACUUUACACACACAUACACUGAACGGCUAGAUCUAGGGUUUUUAGUUUCAAUUCACUCCUAAUCGCUAUGUAUCUCUCCCGAUUUGCUCCUCGAGCUCCCGCUUGUUUCCUUAAUCUCCUGUCACCCUUGUAACCCAUUUAAUCAGUCUAAUAAAACGUCUUUGGUCAUCCCAUUUCGAAUUCUUUCAAUCUAGUCGACUGAAUCCCGUACAAACAAUUGGCGUCCACCGUGGGGCUGACUAAAGUAACGUUCUAGAUCUACAUGGCUCAAGACGACGCCACCUUCGGCGCUCCAGGCGGAGAACCAACACCUACGCCUGAAGCCGCGCCGCCAGAUUUCAUGAGCUCCGUCAUGGCUCGACUCGCUCGACAUGACGAAGUUCAAAAGACAACCAACGACCAGCUAGCUGCUUUGGUCGCAGCACUCACCGAUCCAAACGGCCAAACGAGCCGUCCCCAGAUGAUACGCCGUCGUCUAUUCAACACAAACCCAACGGCGACGGGUGGCGACCACAUCUCAGACGACUCGGAACCUAAUGAAACCCUUCUCACCGAUGCUCCCCCGAUAGGACCAGAUCUCGCAACCAUAAGAGAUAUCGCCGAGCUCAAACUCAGCUUUCAGCAAAUGAGCUCGAAGAUCCAUCAGGCUACUAGUGCGGCUCCACAAAUCGAGAGCAUACUCGCUGCAACCUCGCGAACCCCUUUUACUAGCGCACUGACCAGUGUGCAACUCGGGAAGAUAGAGAAGCUGCGCCUCCCUGAGUACAAGCCCGGAGGAGAUCCGGUGGAACACAUGACGGCUUUCAAUAUCGCGAUGGCACGUGCUCGACUCUCCGAUGAAGAAAGAGACGCAGGCUACUGUCAACUGUUUGUCGAGACUCUCCACGAGCAGGCCCUGACCUGGUUCUCCCAACUAGAGGAGAACUCAAUCGGAAGCUUUCGUGACUUAUUAGCGGCUUUCCUCAAGACAUACAUUAUGUUCACAAAGCGCAGUGCCACUGCAUCUAGCAUGUAGUCUCAAGGAUUGAAAUCCCAGACGGCAUCGCCAAAGAUCAGAGCCUCCGCGACUUAGUCUCAAGGAUUGAAAUCCCAGACGACAUCGCCAUCGAUGCCCUGCGGAACACGUUGUGGGUCCGCUCUAAGUUCCAAGAAGACUUAUACCAAAAUCCAACCACGUCGCUCCAAGAUGCUAUCACUCGUUCUGACAACUUUAUCCGAAUGGAAGAAGAUACAAACGCAAUCCUCAGCAAGAUGAACGCACCGAAAGCACCAGUGACGAAAAAUGCCAACACGAGACAAGAACCGCGCCAGCACGCUCCUAGCGACAAAAACAGCCGAAAAGACGGUUACAUGUAUAUCGUCAACGAGAAUAACGUGUCGGUCUCAACCAUGGUAGUCCGCGGAGAAGGGUGGAACAAAUGGGUCAGAGAGCUCGACUCGUCUGGUGAGCUAACUGAUACUGUCUGCGCGACUCAACCUGCUGUAGCAGCAUGUCUGACGGCAGGCCCUUCCAGAACCGUCGAUCUCACCAAACAUUACAAAUAUCACGACGUCAAAGGACAUGAUACGACAGAGUGCAAGUCACUCUAUGCGCACUAUCUCUCGUCUCUCGCCAGCGGCGACUUCAAAUUCGAGCCCCUGAAAGCUAAGCCCAAAAACGGCAAAAGCUGGAGCAAGAAUAAAGAAAGAAGGGCCCAGCGCAAAGCUACCGGCAAAGGCCGACAAAACGAAACGCAGCAGCAAGAUGAAGAUAAAACUCUGAAGGAUGACGGUGAGGAAGACUCCUCAGCCGACGAAGAACAGCCAGCUAACCGCAGGUGCAUAGAGGUUAUACUCUCUCAGCAAACCUUGUCAUCAGACGACGAGAACGACGAUACACCUAUACUCGGAGAUCUGAGAGAUGUUCUCAAACGAAAGCUCGAGUUCGAAGACGACAAUAGCUCUGAAUACAGUGAUCUCCGACUAACGCUGAAUGCACGAAAGUCUCACCGUAUCUCGAUCGGUGAUCCUGAACCCAAAAAACAUCUGAAACGCCCCAACGGUGAUCUUCGAGACAAACUCAACGCCGGAGCGUGCGAUCUUCGCAUACUUCUCAACCGCUCGAAGCCCACUGAUCUCCGAAGACGGUUGGAACAAACUAAGACGUCAGGCAACUCUACGCUGUCGCCGAACAACGAUAACGCAUCAGCCGAUCUGCGCGCCUUUUUAAACUCCAAGCGAGUAAAAACAAGACAGCGACUAAAUGUCAUUAUGGGUGGUUCUCCUCCCUGCGGAAAUUCUGUUCGUUCUGUCAAGGAUUACCGCCGGCAAGUCGCAACUUCGCAAAGGUGGCCAACUAGGUCGCCGAGUCAUCCUACGAUAACCGUCUCGCCUGAUGACACUGCAGGGAUUCAUAUCCCCCACAACGACCCUCUUCUUGUCGUUCUUGGAAUUGGGGAGUACGAUGUCACCAAAGUACUUAUUGAUACGGGGAGCUCCGUCGAUCUCAUCUUCCGAGGAACGCUGCAAAAGAUGGGAGUGGACCUCGACGACAUCAAAGCGUCCUCCAGAACGUUAACUGGCUUCAGUGGAUCUUCUGAAACAAUACUGGGGACAAUCCGCCUUCCGGUGCGCGCAUGCUGAGUUACUCGAACGGUCAAGUUCGCCGUUCCAAGCACGAAGGCACCUUAUCACGCCAUACUUGGAACCCCCUGGAUACACUCGAUGCAAGCAAUCCCAUCGACUUAUCACCAGUGUAUCAAGUUUCCUGGUACGGACGGCACGAUAAAAACAUUGCGAGGGGAUCAGAAGGCCGCGAGAGAAUUACAGAUCGCCACCGUCAAGCUCCAGCAUUCUUCUCUACCGGUUAACUCUGUCUCUCCUCCAAUCUUAAAAGUCUACCCCCAGAAAGAUGAAGUUCUCGAGAUGCCUAUAGCCGGACCGCACGAAUCAGCGCAUAUCUAUCUGAGGAUAUGCAGCAGUCAAUUCUCGACUUCCUCAAGAAGAAUGUGUCUAUGUUCGCAUGGUCCAUGGCAGACAUGAAAGGGAUUGAUCCAGCUAUAAUGACUCACGAGCUUAAUGUCGACCCAACCUUCAAUCCCAUCCGACAAAAGAGACGAAAGCUUGGUCCCGACAGGUCAAAAGCUGUUAACGAAGAGGUCGAACGGUUACUCGGUGCCGGCUCAAUCGCUGAGGUGCGCUAUCCUGAGUGGUUAGCAAACCCAGUAGUAGUCAAAAAGAAGAACGGGAAGUGGCGCGUCUGCGUCGACUUCACUGACUUAAAUAAAGUCUGCCCGAAGGACAACUAUCCUCUCCCCAAUAUCGACCGUCUAGUCGAGUCUACAGUUGGGAACAAGAUGCUAACGUUCAUGGACGCCUUCUCCGGGUACAUCCAGAUCAUGAUGCACCCUGACGAUCGUGAGAAAACGACCUUUAUCAUAGACAGGGGAACCUACUGCUAUAAGGUCAUGCCAUUCGGCCUAAAGAACGUAGAAGCGACUUACCAACGGCUUGUGAAAAAAAUGUUCGUAGAUAAGCUGGGCGACACCAUGGAAGUAUACAUCGACGACAUGCUUGUUAAGUCGCUACACGCUGCCGACCACCUCCGCCACCUACAAGAUUGCUUCGAAACUCUCAACAAGUACGGCAUGAAACUAAACCCGGCGAAGUGCACGUUCGGAGUUUCCUCAGGAGAAUUCCUUGGUUACAUCUUAAGACAACGAGGAAUCAAAUCCAACCCGAAGAAGGUCUCGGCGGUCCUGAACCUCCCAAGUCCAAAAAAUAGUAGAGAAGUCCAACGGCUCACGGGUCGGAUUGCUACACUCAAUCGGUUCAUCUCUAGAUCCACCGACAAGUGUCUACCAUUCUACGAUCUCCUGCGAGGGAAUAAGAAGUUUAUCGGGAUGAGAAGUGCGAGGAGGCAUUUGCUCAAGUCAAACAGUAUCUGACUACGCCGCAUGUACUCGCCAAGCCAAAUGUCGGCGACGUUCUAUCUCUUUACGUCGCGGUGUCCCCCGCAGCAGUCAGCAGUGUUCUGAUAAAGGAAGACCGCGGCGAACAAAAACCGAUCUUCUACACAAGCAGGCGUAUGACAGGACCAGAAACGCGAUACCCGACUCUGGAGAAGAUGGCACUGGCCGUCGUCGAAGCAACAAGAAAGCUUCACCCGUAUUUUCAAUCACAUUCGGUGGAGGUACUGACCGAUCAGCCCCUCCGAACAAUACUUCAGAACACCAACAGGUCCGGGAGAUUAACAAAGUGGACUAUCGAACUCGGUGAACUUGAUAUCACCUACAGGAACCGAACGGCAGCAAAGUCCCAGGUUCUUGCGGAUUUUUUAGUAGAACUGGCUCUGGAACUGGAGCAAGACCUCGCGUUCCUGAACCCAAACUGGACCCUUCAUGUUGACGGAUCUUCGACUAACAAAGGCGCGGGGGCCGGAGUCCAACUACAGUCCCGGACCGGAGAACUGACCAGACAGUCUUUUAGCUUCGGCUUCCCGACGUCGAACAAUGAAGCAGAAUAUAAAUCUCUGAUCGCCGGACUCCGCUAGCAAAAGCUGUCAAGGCUAAACAAACAUCUAAGCGCCUACUGUGACUCACAGCUAGUCGCCAGUCAGUUUAGCGGCGACUACGACACCCGCAACGACCGGAUGGACGCUUACCUCAAGUUAGUCCAAGGUUUAGCAGCAGAGUUCAAAUUCUUCGAACUCAUUAAAGUUCCCAGACGGGAAAACAUCUGCAACGACGCCCUCGCGGCCCUUGGCUGCAAGCUCCGAGAUCAGGUUAAACGAACCAUCCCAAUACACCGCAUUGAGAAGACAAGUAUCGAUAUCUCGACCGACUAAACGGUCAUCGUAGCCCCAGUCACCGCACCAGAUACUGACGGGUUCGAUCCGGACUGGAGAACAGAGUUCAUCGAUUAUCUCAGCAAAGGGGAACUCCCAGCCGAGAAAUGGGAAGCACACCGACUAAAAGCACUCAAUGCUCAUUACGUCGUCUUAGACGAUAAACUCCAUCGAUGGACCGCGAGUAAAGUACUCCUUAAAUGCAUUCAUGGGGACGAAACCCUCAGGGUUAUGGCCAAGAUGCAUGAAGGCGCCAGAGGCAACCACUCAGGCGGUCGCGCCUUGGCAAUCAAAGUAAGAAGUCUAGGCUUCUUCUGGCUGACAAUGAACGCAGAUUUCGAAUCCUACGCGAGAAGUUGCGACAAAUGCCAAAGGCACGCACCAAGUAUCCACUGCCCAACUGAAAUGUUACGAACGACAACAGCACCUUAUCUGUUCAUGCGAUGGGAAAUGGACAUCAUAGGACCCCUUCCCAGUUCCCGACAACGACGUUUUGUUCUAGUCCUCACCGACAACUUCACGAAAUGGAUUGAAGCUGAGGCCUUCGCUCAAGUCACGGACAAAGAAGUCCGCGGCUUUGUAUGGAAGAACGUUAUCUGCCGCCAUGGUCUGCCUUACGAAAUUGUUACUGAUAACGGAUUGCAGUUCAUGUCGGGCAACUUCAAGGAAUUCUGCAGCAAGUGGAACAUCCGAUUAAGCCCUUCCACCCCUCGCUAUCCGCAAGGGAAUGGCCAAGUGGAAUCCUCCAACAAGCUUAUCAUUGACGGCAUCAAGAAACGCCUAGAUCUGAAGAAAGGACAUUGGGCCGAUGAACUCGACGGAGUCCUGUGGAGUCACCGCACGACACCAAGAGGUUCGACUAAAUCAACACCUUUCUUCCUUGCAUACGGUGUCGAGGCUAUGGCCCCCACAGAGGUUAACGUUACAAGCCUCCGACGUUCGAAGAUGCCCCAGUACGUAGAACUUAACAAGGAGAUGCUGCUCGACGUCCUCGACGAGAUCGAAGAACGUCGGGACCAAGCUCUGCUCCGGAUCCAAAACUAUCAGCAUCAAAUAGAGAGCUACUACAAGAAAAGGGUCUGGGCCAGACCCCUCGAACUCGGCGACCUCGUCAUGCGCAAGGUGUUUGAAAACACUAAGGAACUAAACGCCGGUAAACUCGGGGCUAUGUGGGAAGGACCUUACAAGAUCGUCAAAGUCGUCAAACCAGGAGUCUACCGACUUGAAACGUCGCACAGAGAAGCAGUGCCUCGAGCAUGGAACUCAAUGCACUUAUGACGUUUCUACUCGUAGAAGCGUCGUCGCCUCCCAAAAAAAAAACCGAGUAGAUGCACCUCCGCGGUCACUUCCACUCAACCAAGUAAAUGCGCUUCUAAUAGCCACUUUUACUCGGGAAAAUCGAACUACGAAUGGCUUGAUCCUCAACCGAGGUAAGUAGGCAGCCUUAACCGGCCCAGCUGUAACAACACCAAAGUCAAAACCUUGUUCUUUGUUUCGAUCUCAAUCGAGUAAAUGACGAUCAAUGAACCCCGCCCGUCGUAGGACGGUCAUCGCAUCAAGCGAUUCCCAUACCGCCAACAAGAGGUAUGCGGACACUCACAUUCCACUACUCUGUUAUGCCCUGAUCAGACACUUAGCUGAAGGACCCAACGGUCGCGAGUCACCUAUGCCCCAGUAGCAUUGACCGACCAAAAAGAGCGAAAUCUUUACCUUUUUUCGACAAUCGAGUUACGGACUAGCUACCCAAAUACCCGACUGUCACUGGAAAAAUGGACAAAAGAACCUUGCACUCUUAGAAUCAGUCUCUUGUCUUCAAAAUAGAAUGGUUCACUUAGACGUUAUCUCGGCCAUAACGCGACAAGAACUGACCAAAGUCCCUUAGCGGCUUGUUUUGUUAUCUAUUUGCGAGAGUCAAAGAUCAAGCACCUAUCGUUUCUAAGCGAACACGCUGCGAAACUUUUAGGCGAGCUGAGAUUUACUUAAAAACAUCGCAGAUACGGAUAAGAAACAACAACACAUGAAUUUAAAGUUUGCUUAAAACAGCAACUCGCCGACAAGGUAAAAAUGUGUCUAAUCAUACAACAAAAGUGUCUAUCAAGACCACAAACGCAUUUCAACAAAAAAAAAACAAAGAGUUUAAGUGAUACAACAUCAGCGGAGGGUCAAGCAGCAGAAUCUUGGUCGUCCCCGUUCAGCACACUCGGAGCAGGAGGAUCCAAAGGGUCUUCGGUAACGGAAGCAAUCGGGCCCUCCACUUGAGCAGAAAUAGGAACAAGAAGGUCCACAUUAGAAGAGACGCUUCUUUUCUCAAUUUCACUGUUCGUCUCUUCCUCGUUGGGUUUUGGCGAGGACGUCUUCUCAGCUCGAUCACUGUUCUUCGGUGCCUGGGUUCUCAGUCCCUUCUUCUCGGACUAAGAUACCAUCUGUCUCGGGGUUGUCUUUCUCAGGGCUCUCCUCGAGGUUAUCCUUCUCUGGGCACUCCUCGAAGGUAUCCUUCCCUGGAACCUCAGCAUGUUCUGUCGGGGCCGACGUGAUAUCAACCAUCGGCUCUUCAGACGGCUCCUCGGUGAUCUUGCGGGAGGUAAUGAGUUGAGAAGCCAUCUCCAGUCCAAUCAGAUCCGCGUUCGAUCCAUACGGAUCAAACGGUGCUCGAAACCUGUCCUCAACAAAGCGAGAAAGAAGAACUAGCGGAGAAAGAGUAAGAUCGCUGUCAGACAGCGGAUCCACACGAAGUUUUGUAGCCACUGCCAUAUGAAGCUUCUCCUGCUCGACGAAGACAUAGAUCAUCUCUUGCGGGAUCUCCAUCCCGCUGUCCUUUAUCAUCUCAAGGAAUUUCCUCAUCCCUGAGGCUUGCCCGUAUAAAUUCUUUGCCUUUCCAAAGGCGUCAAAGCGAGUAAAGUAGUCGCGCACGCGACCAAAGCAAUGAUUCGCCUUAUCGGUCAUAGCGGCCUGAACCCUCUCCCUUUCCUUCAGGUGUUGCCUCUCUUUGAUCAGCUUUUCCACCGCAGAGUCCCUCUCUUCGAGAAGCUCAGCCUUUUCCUUCUCGAGAGUCGCGGCGGUCUACUCCAAACGAGCUUUCUCUCGGGUAAGCUCUUUCUUCGCCGCCCUAUCAGAUUUGAGCUUACCUUCGAGCUCUUCGAAUUUUAUUCGGAGAACCUCUUUCUCCUUAGCAGUUUCUUCGUUGGCUUUCUUAUGCUCAGCCCUCACUCUCUCGAUGGCUUUCAGCCUCGCCUGAGCAAGUUUCUCCGAAGAUCCCAAAUGAAUCAUCGUCUGCUUUAGGGUACUGUCGUACUUCUCGACGAGGAAGUUCAUGCUCCCGUCUAUCUGCAAAACGACAAAAUGAGGAUUAUUCGAGGUGGCUCGACCCACUCGUUCAAUAAGGAGAAAAGGAUAAAAGGAUAGCGCAGGUACCCGUGCUCUAGUGAAGGCGGCAUCAGCAUAUUCAUCUUUGAAGUAGAGAUCUCCUAUCUGUGGCAUUUCCCUCGUCCCACCACGGAUCUGCCGCGUCAACUCCGGGCAUCGAAGGGGGUUAAAAAUCAACGGAGUCUUCUCGUCGUAAGAAAACUGAACACGGUCUGGAAAUUCGCCCCCCCCNNNNNNNNNNNNNNNNNNNNNNNNNNNNNNNNNNNNCCCUCUCCUCGUAAGGGAACCUUCGGACCGAGCGCCUCUUCUCGUUGCCUAAUCAGGAGCAGACCUCUCGCUCGCUGUAGACUCGCUCCUAGUACCGCCUUCUGACGCUGUGACUUUUCUUCUCUUCUCUAGAGGAGUUCCGGGGGAAAGACUCUUUCUUCCCGCAGAGUCAACAGGAGUGGUUCCGUCAGCAAUUGGCCGCGGCACCGCUUCAACCGACCUCUUCUUCGUUUUCUUUUUAGGGCGAUCCUCAGGAACCGCUUCAAUUGGAUCUGCCCCGACGAGAUCUUCUGGACUGGCUUCUCGUCCUUCUCUUGGCAUAUCAUCGUGAUCAGCGGGAGAAGUGGCCCCUUCUCGGGGCCUUUUCUUCCCUUCUUUCUUCUUCUUCGCUUUCGAGCUUUUAGAAGCCUCGCCAAGAGAAGCUACUUCUCCAAGAGGAACGUCUGCACCAGGAGCCUCAUCGGUGACUCUCCUCUUCGCUUUCUUGCUCUUCUUCUGCUUUUUAGGACUUAAAGCUGAGGGCUCUGCAUCGAUAUCCUCGUCGACUAUGAUGGAGUCUCUUCCCUUAGAUGCCCCGGCUUCCUCAGAAUUGGUUGAUUCCAGAACAACAUUUGAGGUAGUUUUCUUCAAAAGCAGCUGCAGUUUCCCUUUCAGCAGAGCGUUCAAAUCUGGAACUCCCUCCAUUUCUCUGGCUUUGUCGAGAAGCUUCUGAUGCUUCCGAGUUAACAGAGAGAGAUGCGAUUUGCGAGGAUCGAGAACACAAGGAAGCCUCGACUCCCAGUCAACUACGACGAGAAGAACAAGACAAAGACUUAAUAUGGAAACUAUGAUGUUUCGACCUAAGGUAUCCGAGAGAACUAACCUCUGGCGAUCCUAGCUUGUUGACGACGUAUCCACUCUCGACUGAGAUCCGGCCAACGAAGAUAGCUGUGCGUCGCGAUCGCUUGAGCACUCUCGAAAAAAUUCUCUGGGUAUGCGAUCGUAUUCGGGUGACGAACAGCGAAUACAAAAAAAAAGGAGCAGUUAGAAUCAUCGAGUAAAGCACAACCAAAAAGAGAAAUCUCUACCAAGUUCUUUAUUCCACAAAAUGCGGUAGUCGUCCCCGGGCGGCUCUUCGAAGGCGUGCUCGUCGGACUUGACCUAGAAGUACGCACGCUGCCAAUCUUGCGUCUUGUUUGGGUGACCAGUCAAGACAUUGUAGUUCGCACGCAUCUUUACCGAGAAGAUCCCAUUUGGCUCCGCUUUCGUGAAAGUCAGCUCCUCAAAUACCCUCAUGCUCAUCGAGAUAUCCAUCUCCGCCGCCAUAACCAUCAACAUGACGACUAUGCGCAAUGAUCCAUUCCGCAGUUGAGAAAUAGCAAUAUCUCGACGAAACGCGUACGACGUUACCAACCGAGGGAUUGGAAACCAGAGCUUCGUGUGUUCCCCGAAGUAGGACUCGUACACGCAUUGGUAGCCAACCGGAGGCGACCAAGGACGUUUCUCGGUAGACGGGAUGAUGUAGGUAACGCCGGCACAACCAUUCUCCCUUAACAAAUUCUUCACAGUGUGGUGAGAGGAGCAGGAACCGAACACAUUCCCCCACGACUGAGCCCGCAGAUCACGCAGUAAUUCAGGCGGGAGUGGAGAAAGCUCCUCGAAGAUCCCGCCAGGAUGAUAAAUCGUGGUACGGCAGUCUAUCUGGUCAAAACGAACCCUUCAACGAACUCGUCUCAAAGGUCUCGAGGCUUGGUUAGACGCUUCAGAACCGCUACCACUCAAGUUGCUGCUCCCGACUUCGACGCGAUCCGCGCCUUCUUCACGAAUUUGCCUAUGGGCAUCAGCGACUAAAAGACGCUGGGAUAGACUCAUGUUCUAUGUAUCUCGUAGAGCAUCGCGAUGAAUAAGGUCAAACUCAUCCAGCGGACUACCAUUCGCUGUCACGUCUCUAGUCGGACUCGGAGAAGUAGCGAUAUCCUUUCCCUUCUCCUCGCGCGAUAAUCGACUUCUCGGAGGCAUGCUUUCUAACUCUGGGGACGACUAAACCAACGAACUAAACUAACAACUCUACUCGACGAAAGACGUAUCUAGAGAGAGAAAGUAAAAGUAGAGAGAAGGGAGAGAAAGCGGAAUACCUGAGUCAGCAGAGAAGAAUGACGAAAGCGAAAGGGAAAGAUCUACUUAUAGUAAAAACGAGGACACGUUUCCCAAACGCAAUCAUUAGGUCUAGAAGGGCCUAGAUGGGACUCAAGGGCCGCCUACAUGCCCAGAAACCUACUCGCGACGGUUUGGUUUCUCGCUUAAACCGGCUUCCGAUUGGAUAGUCAAACCGGAAUCAAUCUCCGAUUUUGAUCUAAACCGAUUCCCGGUCGAACAGCGAAACCGGCCCCAUCAUUUCACCCAAAGUAGUCUGUCACCCGAGUAAAACAUGCCCCCAUCGCAAAGACAAAAGAAAGAAGCAAGCAAGUCAUGAUAGUCUCUACUCGAGCGACUAAACGCGUUAAGCAACGACCAGAGAGACGAGAAAAGACACUCUCCGUCGGUUCCGAGUAAAAACAGCAUGCGACCAAAAACGCUUAACGACUAACGGGGGGAGGACUGCCUCUCGCGCUAGAACCUGUUAUCCGAACGAACCUGACCCACAAAUUCACUGAGAUCGCUACGCCGCUCACAAGUGAAAUUGGGGGGNNNNNNNNNNNNNNNNNNNNNAAAGGGGGGGGGGGGGGGACUUAUUGUAGGAGAUGGAUUACAUCCCUCCACAAGGCCCAUCGAAUAACAGGACCUAGCCCAGCAAGCUGGCCUAAUUUAUUCGGCUCGGCGAGUAGAGUCGUCAGCUCGGCCCUAGAGUGCUUUUAGCCGUUGGCAAAGCCGACCAAAAACACCCGGCUCGGAGAAACUCCACCCAGGCCCGUAUACUCGGCCUCCCCGAACUAAGGCCCAGAGAGGAUCGAAAUUAGGGCAUCAAGGAGACAAAGCCUUUAAAGGAGGAGAAGGGAACAGAAAGAAGAGGAUCAACACUUUACACACACAUACACUGAGCGGCUAGAUCUAGGGUUUUUAGUCUUCACUCCAAAUCGCUCUGUAUCUCUCCCGGUUUGCUCCUCGAGCUCCAGCUUGUUUCCUUGAUCUCCUGUCACCCUUGUAACCCAUUUAAUCGGUCUAAUAAAACGUCUUUGGUCAUCCCAUUUCGAGUUCUUUCAACUUAGUUGACUGAAUCCCGUACAAACAUAGUUUAUUAAAAAAAAAAAAAACUGCGUCGUUUUGGUUAGGUGAAACCCUCCUUUUUCGGCCAGAGGUUUCCACCAUAAACAGAGAAGAUCCUCCUUGGUUCAGUGGAAACUAUGUAAUUAUGUUUGUAAUAAGCUAGACACGUAUCAAUCAACUCUGACUAAACUCUGGAUUAUUAAUUUUUUCUCCAAAAGUUUCGUAGCCGCCGAAACCUUUGCUCUUAGAUCCACCACAGCUUCCUCGGUGGUUUGGUUUCCGCCACCACCGGGGAAGGCUAUUCUUCCUCCGUCUCUUCUCUAAGUGGUGUAUCUUUUUCUCUCUAAAAUCGUCUUAUUCUCUCAUUGUAUGGCAUCUUUUGUAGCGGUCAUUGAUGGUGUUCGUAUAGGGUUAUGAUGUUCUUCAUGGAGGUUAGAGCCAGGAUGGUGUGUGUUGGCCCUCUUCUUUCAGUCUAGACUGCUAUUGGUUCCAGCCCUUGUUAUUGUUUUCAUGAUUGGUUGAGUUGCGGUGGUUGUGGUUGUCCCGCCAGAUCUGUAGAGUGUAUAUGGAGUUUGUCUAUGGUGUUUUGUGUUCCUCUGUAGUAUCCAUGUGAUAUGGUGACAGUGGUGAUCCAUGGAUCUGACUUCGAAUUUCCUUGCGUGAUGGUUUUGGUGGUGUUGGUGGACCUUUGUCGCUGAUCUUUCCAAUGGUUUGUUGGUCUUUACAAUUAGUUGAUGGGUAACUUGAUUCUUUUGCAACGGAAUCAUGUAUGGCUUGUCAUGUGCGCCGGUUUUAGUUCUUUGUUGCCAUUCAUCUGUGUUUAGGCUUUGCUAUUGGUAGUUGGUUCACUUUCUUGUUUUUAAGUUUGGUGUUGAGUCUUAUGACUGCUUUGCUUCUCUGGUUUGUUGGUGUUCGAUGGUGACGCUUCUUCGUACUUGUCAUCCAUGUUCAGUUUGUUCCUGGUUCUUGUCAGAGGAGUUAUGCAUUGCUCCCUGUUUCAUGAUGGUUUCUAUUUAGGGUUUAUUGGAGACACAACAAUGCCCCAAUGUAUGUUGGACUGUCAUUGAUCUGAAUGGAUAGGGAUUCAUUAUUUGGAGUUGGACUUUGAAGCAUGUUGCGUUCUUCUCAAGCUGCUAUUGUGGAUAAAAGCAGAGCUUGCAGUUUUCAGGGUUCCAACUCAUGGAUUUUCAUUAUUUCCUCAAGUUCAGAUUAAUGUUUUGCCUGUUGUGGUCCGAUUUGGUUAAAUCAUGUCAUCACCCUCAAGGCUAAGACUCUCUCAUCCGAGCUUCUACUUGCAUAUCUUGUGAGAGUCUUCAUUCGUUUCAUGCUUCUGCUCGCCCUCUAUAAGAUCUGCUUUAUGAGGUGUUCUAUAUGAGCUUUUGAUGGUACUUACUAGUAUCUUUUGCUGUUCUUUUUUAUGUUUUUGUUGUUACAUUUGCUUCAGGUGUUCUACCCAUAAACUGUUUUGCUAUAUUAUCAUGUGUUGGACCACUUCAAAUAAAUGAAAUUCAGUGUUACAAAAAAAAAGCUAGACACGUAUCACAUAAAUGUAAAUGGCAUCAAGCUAAUUAAAUCUGGAACCAGAAAAACUCUUGCCCUUAUUUGUCAAAAAUAAUGUUCUACUAGUCUUUAUUAUGCUCUCAAAAUAAUACCAACUUUUACUAAUACAAAAUAUAGCCUACGAAACCUAAAUAAAAAGCUUUGACUCAGUAGAAUGAAACCAAAGCCCUAGUCUUGAACAAGUUUUGUAUACAAAGUCUUUUUGUGUUGAAUCAUAAGGCAGCACUUUAAGCUCCUCUCCUGCAUCUGCGUGCAUCCAAAACUUAUGAGAUCAGAGAAAGAGAAGAAAAGAAACGUGCAAUAUCAGUUCUGAGAGAUUUUCAUGCACACAUAAACAUUUGUACCUCGAACUCAGAUAUCAUCCUCAGAAGAUCAUGGCACUGCUCCAGCAUUAGCUUCUCUUGUGCCACCACUUCAGCAAGUUGAGAGGCAAGUGGAACGAUAUCCUCUAUCUGCUAACGGAAAUUCGUUAAGUUACUAAACCACCUACUUAGAUGUCACCUUUUUUAUUGUAACAAUUGUGAGAAGAAACAGAUGCGGAAACAGAUGAAUAAAAACGAUGUAACAACGAUACAUAGAUUUAACGUGGUUCCCCAAUUUGGCUACGUCCACGGGCAAAGAGAGAUCUUAUUAUUGGAAGCGAUAUUGAGCUUACAAAGUGCAAGUUCAGAGUUACUUCGAAUACAAGAUAUAUAUAGUAGAAUCUCGCAUCUAAAACCCUAGACUAAACGGACUCAUGGGCCUAAGCCCACGAUCAGAUGUAACAUCCAUAAUAACUUGAUGCAACGCUCUUGAUGCAACCGAGUCGGUAUGAUGUACGUGAUGUAACAUCCAUCGCCUAGAUGUAACAUCCAGAUUCAAGGCAUAUCAACAAUUCUCCACCUUGACUUGAAUCCUCUCAAUAACAGAUGUACCAGAUGUACCAGAUACACUUUCAAGUGUCAAAUGUACCAGAUGUGCUUCUCUGCGGUAGAUGUACCAUCACUUUCUUUGCCUCGGAUGUCCCUUUGGACCAGAUGUGCUGCUUAGACGAACCAGACGCCAUUUAACGGCCAAAUGCUCAACUAGAGCCAGACGUUCGUUAUCAGCCAGAUGUCCCAAUAGACCAGACGUCCGUACGGACUAGACGUCCUUACGGACCAGAUGCCCCGACGGGCCAGAUGCCCCAACGGGCCAGAUGUCCUUGCGGACCAGAUGUCUUUGCGGACCAGGUGCCCCUUCGGGCCAUAUGCCCCUUAGGGCCAUACUAACAGUUUGAGAUGUUUAGCAAGUCUAAGCAAUGCUUAAACUUGCUGUGAGGAACCGGCUUUGUGAACAUGUCAGUAGGAUUAUCUGCAGUUCCUACUUUCUUCACUUCAAUUUGCUUCUCAUCUCUCAAGAAGUGAUACCUCACAUCAAUGUGCUUCGUUCUCUCAUGAUGAACCUGAUCCUUGGCUAAGCAUAUAGCGCUCAAACUGUCACAAUACACAGUAGCCUGAUCUUGAUGCAAACCAAGAUCAUUAACCAAUCCUCUAAGCCAUAUUCCUUCCUUCGCAGCUUCUCUCAGCGCCAUAUACCCUGCCUCGGUAGUAGACAAUGUCACUGUAGACUGUAAAGUCACCUUCCAGCUAACCACAAAGCCGCCCAAGGUGAACACAUAACCGGUCAUAGAUCUUCUGCUGUCCACAUCUCCAGCAUAAUCAGAAUCAGAAUAGCCUGUUACCAAUCGCAGAUUGUUGCAUCCAUAGAUGAGACCAACAUCAGAUGUACCCUUCAGAUACCGGAAAAUCUGCUUCACAGCUGCCCAAUGCUCCUUCCCAGGUUGUCCCAUAAACCUGCUAACCACACUGACUGCAUGUGCCAGAUCUGGUCUUGUGCAGACCAAUGCAUACAUCAAGCUUCCUACAGCGCUAGCAUAAGGAACUCGAGACGUAUACACUAUCUCUUCUUCAGACUAAACCUCAUACAUGGUAAGAUGAAGAUUUGAUGCACACGGAGUACUAAUAGGUUUACAUGAAGACAUUUUGAACCUUGUCAACACCUUAUUAAUGUAGGCCUUCUGUGACAAGAACAAAUUUUUCUUCUCCCUAUCUCUGAAGAUCUCCAUCCCUAGAAUCUUCUUUGCUACACCCAAAUCCUUCAUCUCAAAUUCAGAACUCAGAAUCUCCUUCAGCUUCUUGAUGUCACACAUCUUCUCUGCAGCUAUCAGCAUGUCAUCCACGUAGAGCGCCAAAUAGAUGAAUGUGUCAUCUUUCAAUUUUCUCAUGUAGACACAACAAUCAUAAGGACUUUUGAUGUAGCCCAACUUGAUCAUAUAGCUGUCGAAUCUCUUGUACCAUUGUCUGGGAGACUGCUUAAGUCCAUAAAGGGACUUCCGAAGCUUACACACAUAGUCUUCAUUUCCAGGAACUCGGAAACCAUCCGGCUGAGUCAUGUAUAUCUCCUCCUCACGCUCUCCAUGAAGAAACGCAGUCUUCACAUCGAGUUGCUCAAGCUCCAAGUCCUGACGUGCUACCAGCGCUAGCAACACUCUGAUGGAAGUAUGUCUGACCACUGGUGAAAAUAUCUCAUUGUAGUCUACUCCCUCUCUCUGACUAAAACCUCUUGCAACAACCCGAGAUUUAUACUUAACUCCUUCUAUCGGUGAUGCUCCAUCCUUAAUCUUGUAGAUCCACUUGCAUGUAACAACUCUUCUCCCUAGUGGUAAUGUGACCAAAUCCCAUGUAUGAUUCUUCUCAUGAGACUCCAUUUCGUCUCCCAUUGCUGCAUGACAUUUCUCAUACCCGGGACAAGAAACAUCUUCCAUGUAAGUGGAUGGUUCAUACAUAUCCACUUCAUCUACAACCUGAAGUGCAUAACCCACCAUAUCUUCAAAACGAUAUCUCUCUGGUGGCCUGACAUCAACCCUUCUUGGUCGAUCCUUCGCGAUGCUACGCUUUGUAGCAUCAGGCGGUAGAGUAUCCGUAGACUCCAACUGAACUUCUUCUACACGCUCAUCUUGAUUUUAUGUGUGUUCAUGUACAUUGAUCACUUCAUGAUCAUCAGUACUACCUUUCUCUGCUUCAGAACUGGACCAUGAGCUUCUAACCAUAGAUGUCACGCCCCCAAUCCUGGAUAGGAUUGUCGGACGGCCAUGGUUCGAGGAAACGUACCAGCCAGUCUUAGGACAUUAAGGCAAGCGUUCCAUGGUCGAGAAAGAAGGUUAAGAACAUAAGGAAACUUAGACUUAACCUUAUACAAGCUAAGAGACAGUUAGGAUGAGUAAGAUGGUAGCUGGACAAAGUAAACGAGUAGCUCGACCAGCUCAACGAAGCUAGGUUAAGUUCACUCCAACUCAACCACUACUAAGUCAGCUCCACUAGCUGGACCACUAGCUCACUCAGCUGAAGCAGCUGGGAGUCAGCUCAUCUCAGCUAGAUAGAAUGUUCGGGUUUCUGGCCGAUGGUCCGGGCUCGGCCAGUGGCGGGCCGUGAGGUCCGGUCAUGGGGCCAUGGACCGUUGGGGCUUGGGACAAGGCUGUGGGAUAAGUCCAGAAGGCUUGGGUAAGGCCUUGGGCUUAUGACCGACCCCAAACCCAAUCAGAAUAGGCGAUGGGAUGCAAGUGACCGAGAGGGCACAACCCUUGGCCGAUGGUGCCCAUCCGCUAGCAAGUCAUGCCUGUUCGUGGGGAAAGACUUACCCCCUCGUUUUCUAUAUUUAUGGGGCCCUCUCUGUCAAUUUCAUUCAUCCAUUCCAGAGUAAAAUAACUCAGAGAAAUCGUAGAGAGAGAGAGAGUUUCCGGCCAAGAGAAAGGCCGAGAGUGGUGGUGAUUGUUUCUGGCGACUCUGAUCGUUUAGGAACUAACCUCCGGUCAAGAUGGGAGACCAAGACAAGGAGAAGAACGUGUAGAACCUAGAGGUGGUUCAGAAGGUAUGAUAUGGGCCGUGGCUCCAUCAGACCGAACAGACGGUCCAUGCGAUCACACCGCGGCUCUGUAGGUUCCUAAGUCCCAUCCGGCUUCUCUUACUUGUUUUCUAUCCGAUCUCUUUCUGUUAUGUCUGAUAUACACGAAAGGUUGUAUUGUUUCAGUCCAAGGGACACGUCCCUAGACUUGGCCGAUCAUAACUUAACCACUAGCCUAGACAUGGGUCGGCUAAACGGAUGGUUUGAAUCGCACCUAUGACUGGGCGGUUAGAUCAAAUGGUUGGGCAUGUAUCCAAAAGGCACGAGUUGCCAAAGGUCACGAGUUCCAAAGGUUGUGAGUUGCCAAAGGGUGCAAGUAACCAAAAGGUACGAGAUACCAAGGGUUACAAACAUCAAGAGGUACGAGGACCAAGAGGUACCAAUGAACGAAGGGGUGCAUGUUCCAAACAGUGUCUGUUGAUGCAGGUUCUGUUGAUGCAGGUUCUGUCCGAUCCUUAUGGAUCAGUCCAUGUCUUGUCUGUUGAGAUAAGUACACGGUUUGUCUAAGCCAUGGUAUGAGUCGCAAGGUCUGAUCGGUUGAUUAGCGUACCGGAUUGGGUUUGAGGCUUACUCGGCCGUUGGAUCCAACCCCAAGGCCGGAUCAGGUAAGGAAGCCCGUUGGGCCAUCGAGCCGGACUUCAUGGACCGGUCGCACCUAGAUUCUAUCCGGUUAGACGGAUUGGUCUUUGGGACGAUUCGGACCUGUUCGUGUGUUCUGUUUAUCUAUUCUGGACCGUCUAUCUGAUUCUAAGUCAAGGGGUGGUUGGUUGAAUGACUUAGGAUACGGUAGAUGGUUUCAUAUCUUUUUAUGAUUAUAUUGACUGAGGUUUAUCUAUGUUCUAGGAACCAAGCCAAGAAUUGUAGAAUCAACUAGUUCUAAUCUCGGUUAUGAUUAAUGCUUAUUUGGUUGCGGUUUCAGGAACUAAGGAUGGUUCUGGUCAAGCCAAGGAGCCGUGAAGGCUCGGUUAGUGAGAGGCUGUGUAACGUGUGGUUAGAUGAUGCUAGGGAUGAACUAGUGAUUGUCUAUGAGACUGUUAAGAAGUUAUGUAUUGGAUCUCAUGUUUCUAAGUAAUACAAGUUAUACACAUUUAUAUUCCGCUGUGCAAUCUGUUCGUUUGUUUAUGAACCUCAUAUUCGAAUAUGACAGUAAAUAAAAGACUUAGAAAUGAAUCAAACAAGCAAAGAAAUUAAUAAGUAAGCAUUUGUAUCCAGUUGGGUCGAGAGACCAGGAUCGGGUCUUACAAUAGAUGCUUCAUCGAAAACAACAUUCCUGNNNNNNNNNNNNNNNNNNNNNNNNNNNNNNNUCCUGCUUAGAAUCACUCGGUUUUCUGAUUGAGACCAGGCCCUGUAUCCCUUGACUCCAUCGCCGUAGCCCAUAAAAACUCCCUUCCUUGCUCUCGGCUCUAGUUUACCUUCACUUACAUGAUAGUAAACAGUGCAACCGAACACUCUUAGAAGUGAAUAAUCAGCAGAUAUACCUGACCACACUUCAGAAGGUGUCCUGCACUCGAUGCCUGUGUAGGGACCGAGAUUUAUCAAGUAACAAGCCGUGUUGACUGCUUCAGCCCAAAACCGCUUCUCCAGACCAGCAUUCGAGAGCAUGUACCUUGCUCUCUCUAGCAAUGUCUGGUUCAUUCAUUCUGCUACACCAUUCUGCUGUGGUGUUUCUCUGACUGUAAGAUGCCUUGUAAUCCCCGCAUCCUUACAAAACUGAUUGAACUCUGCUGAGCAGAAUUCCAGACCGUUAUCAGUACGAAGUCGCUUCACCUUCUUCUCUGUUUGAUUCUCCACCAAUAUUUUCCACUCCUUGAAGCUACUGAAUGCUUCACUUUUGUGCUUCAUAAAAAUUAUCCAAGUCUUCCUCGAAUAAUCAUCAAUCAUCGACACAAAAUAUAUGUGACCUUUCAGGGACUCUACUCUGGAUGGACCCCAACAGUCUGAAUGGAUGUAAUCGAGUGUGCCUUUUGUUCUAUGAAUUGCCUUGCGAAAGCUCUUUCGAUGCAGCUUCCCAAAUAUGCAUUGCUCACAGAACUCUAGACUUUUGGUCUUGUGACCACAGAGAAGACCUUGCUUCGGCAGAAGUUGCAUCCCACGUUCACCCAUAUGUUCAAGCCUCAUAUGCCACAGCUUAGUCAUAUCUUCCUCUGAGAUCUCUGGUGAUGCAACAUUUGCUGAACCUGUAACGGUAGUACCCUUCAGCAAAUAUAGAGUACCGUUCAUGAAACCCUUCAGAAUCACAUCAGAACCCUUGCAGACAUUCAAAACUCCAUUGCCACCCGAAUAUUUGAACCCUCUACUGUCCAGAAGACUCAUGUAUAUCAAAUUCUUCGUCAUUGAUGGAACAUGCCUAACCUCGUUCAAUGUGCAGAAUCUACCAUCAUGUGUCCUGAGCUUGAUUGAGCCGAUCCCAACAAUCUUGCAGACAAAAUCGUUUGCCAUCUUAAUCUUGCCGUCAAGUACCUUUGUGUACUUCGAAAACCACUCUCUCCUCGGUGUCAUAUGGUAGGAUGCUCAUGUAUCCAGAACCCACACAUCAGAAGAGUGUGUGUGUCUGUGCACAACAAGAGCGAUGUCACUAUUAGACUUGGCUUCAUCCUCAGCUACUGCAGCAGAUCCAGACUGUUGCUCCUUCUUCUUCUUGGGACAGUCUGACUUCCAAUGUCCCUUCUCUUUGUAAUACUUGCAAGUAUCAGUUGGCUUAGGACCUCUUGGAAACAAUUUUCUUCCUUUCGACUUCCUUUUGUUCCCAUAUCCCUUCACACCACUGAUAAACAAUCCCAAAGCUUGAUUGUAUGUCCCUGAGUUGGAUGCCUUAUGGCGUAAUUCCCGACUGUGAAGCGCCGACCUAACUUCUUCCAGUCUCAUUGUAUCUUUGCCAACAAUGAACGAUUGCACGAAGUUCUCGAAAGAGUUCGGCAAAGAUACCAACAGGAUUAGAGCAGCGUCUUCAUCCUCCACCUUAACAUCGAUGUUACGCAGCUCCAGUAAUAUCGAAUUUAACUUGUCAAGAUGGUCGCGAAGCUCAAUAUCUUCUUGCAUACGCAAAGCAAAGAGGCGUUGCUUCAGAAGUAGCUUGUUCGUCAGAGAUUUUUUCAUGUACAAGCUCUCCAACUUCUACCACAAAUUAGCAGCAGUUUUCUCAUCCGACACUUCGAUGAUGAUCUCGUCUGCUAGACACAACAAAAUUGUUGUGAACGUCUUCUCUUCUAGAGUCUCCAAAUCAGCUGCUUCAGAUUUUUUCCCUGACAAUGGUCCCCAGAUGCCUUGUUGCUUCAACAACGCCUGUAUCUUAAUCUGCCAAAGACUGAAGCUAUUUCUCCCAUCAAACUUGUCGAUCUUCGCUCUUAUUCCAGACAUCUUCUCACUAGAUCACAACCCGAAGCUCUGAUACCAGUUUGUUGUAACAAUUGUGAGAAGGAACAGAUGCGGAAACAUAUGAAUAAAAAUGAUGUAACAACGACACAGAGAUUUAACGUGGUUCACCAGCUUGGCUACGUCCACGGGCAAAGAGAGAUCUUAUUAUUGGAGGCGAUAUUGAGUUUACAGAGUGCAAGUUCAGGGUUACUUCGAAUACAAGAUAUAUAUAGUAACAUCUCGCGUCUAAAACCCUAAACUAAACGGACUCAUGGGCCUAAGCCCACGAUCAGAUGUAACAUCCAUAAUAACUUGAUGCAACGCUCUUGAUGCAACCGAGUCGGUAUGAUGUACGUGAUGUAACAUACAUCGCCUAGAUGUAACAUCCAGAUUCAAGGCAUAUCAACAUUUUUUUUUCUCUCUCUGCAUCGAAAUAACGUACCGUGGGAGCAAAACUAUUCACAGUAGAAAUGAUAGCAUCAGAGACUGCUUCUCCUUUCCGAAAUAUAGUGACAGCAGAUUCUAUCUUCACCUGAAAACAUUUAGGUGUUAGUGCCAAAAAAAAAAAGAAGAAUCUUAAUUAGCAGAUGAGCAAGAUCUAAUUUACCUUUGCACCUUCCCUUAGGGGAACCCUGGAAAGAAGAGAAUGCAGGGAUUGUGUGGUCAUGGAAAUAGAUGAAAAGUGUUCUCUUCCCAUGUCCUCCCAUGCCUCAAGAUGCUUAACCUAUUUCAGAUAUAUAUAUAUAUAUAUAUAUAUAUAUAUUUCUUAUCAAUCAGAUGCUUCAAAGAGACUAGCAAGAUAAUCUCUGCGGGUUUGGCAAUACCAGAAUCGACAAAUGGGUUUGGAUCUGAGACGUACUUGAGAAACAAGGAGAUGAGCCAGCUUCAUUUCCAACUGUUUCUUUUGCAGAUUAAUUCUCUCUUGUAGAACCAAAUUUUGUAAUUUGGUAAGAGCAUCACAUGCACAUAGUAAUUGUUUCUGCAAAGGUUUCAUGAGUAGAAGUGAUGAUAACUGUAUUUUUUUGUAGAGAGUAGAAAGAGUGACAUUACCUUUGCUCGGGAGGCUACAUUAUUGUUUGCAGCCGAUGCUCUAGCAUUGACAAACCUCCACUGAACCAACCGAUUGUUCAUAAGCUUCAGCUGAUGAGAAGCCUCUGUCUUUGGUUUUAAUGGGGAAGAGAUGGGAGAAGACUUGUUCUUGCUCCUCCUGAAGAAAUCCAAACCAAGGUUGAAUAGUUUACCAACGCCUUUACCUCUUGGAGGCUUGAGGUUUGAACUUGGAUAUAUGCUCGAGGCCUGAUGAGCUUCCAAUGAUCUUCCUGGUGACAGCGCCCACUGAGACAUUGAACUGCCAUACCUAGCUGCUGAAUUAGUCCUACUCUCAAUACCCCUAAAGCUCUGGGAACCUUGUUGUAACCUAAUAUUGUUUGUGGUGCACCCUUUCCUUGCAUCAUGCAGAUAUUUAGAAGAGACUUUGAUACCAGGUUUAUGGCUCCUGGAUAAUGAACGACUUGUGCUAAGAGUUGUUGAAGCAAAGGACACAUCACUCAACUCUGAAUCAGAUUCAUCAUUAUAAUAGAGUAGAGAGGAGCGAGAGUUUCUCCUUGAUGAUGAUAAUGAUGAUGAUCUGUGCAAUGCACAUUCGUCAACGGAAAAUCUGCCAGGAAGUAUGACAUUAUCCUCAUCAUCGAUCUGCCUACUAUUUUCUUUUGUGUCAACUUCAGGACCAUUACUUUGAUUUGGGAUCCCAUCUGACAUCCGAUCAUUCUUUCUCAGACCGAGAUGGACGUUGUUGGAAGAUGAAUUGGAAGUGGAGUUUCUGCCGAUAGGAGAAGAACAUGAUGACGGAGAGAGGAAACGUGAACUAACCACGCGGGACUUUCCUCUGCUUGUUGUUUUCAGGGAAACAUUUUCAUGCUCACAACUCUUCAUUGUUACUCUGAGAGCUUCCUCUAUGAGAGAGAGAGAGAGAAGUAGGGAAGAUUUUAAAUCUUAAGUUACAGAGAAUCUUUUUUGUAACUUUCAAAAAAAAUGGCGGCUCAAUAGAUGAGUCAUAAGUUGGUUCGGUUCCACUAUGGUCGCCAAUAUUAUAGGGUUUGUUAUUAUUCAGUUAUACUUAUUCUUUGAAGCAAAGAUUUUUUUCUCUCUUUUUUUGUCUUCUCGUAAGAAAAGAUUAUUGUAUACAAACAGAGAAUAAUUGAUGCUUCACUGAAUUUGAAUUAUCAACAUUCACAACAUAUAGAAAGUGAUUGGUGUCUGUCUGAGCAUACAAAACACUCGCAAGUGUCUCUGUAACCAAAUGUGGGAGGUAUGGCUGUCUAGAAGAUGGAAGUAAAUCUAGCCAAACACUAAAAUAUCAAUGAAAAUUGCAUUGUUUCAUAAAAAAGGUGAAGUGAAGAACAGCUCCAUUGUCGAUAAAACGAGCAUCCACAUUGGCAUAGCCCAAUCCCAGAAUAUCCCACAAUGCCUCUAGUGCCUCUGUGUUUCUCGAUUGAGGAUAUUUGAUUGCCCUUUCUUUUUUUUUGGCAGCGCAAGUGAAUCUGUAUAUUAUUUUUCUUAAUUCUUUAGAAUCUAAAAGAAGAUGAAGGUUUUUUCUAGCAUGGAACAUGUCAGACAAUAAGCCUAUUGUUAAUAAGGUUAUCUUUGUAUACACGCUACUAGUCCCGGAGAGAACCGGGAAGUCGCUGGAGCCUAUAGAGUUUAUGUUUCAGGGUUGGCUGGAAAGGAGCGGUCAAGUUGAGCUUGGAGAUUCUGAGCGUCUUGUGCUCAAGGGUCAAGAGUCUUGACUUUUGAGAACAGAUUUGGACAUUGUUAAACCAGAAGAGGCAGAACAUAAAAUAUACUCUGUUCUGUUCUCUUGUUUGUUUUUUUUUUUGAAACACAACUUAUAUUAAUGCAACAGAGAGAGUUAGGUGAUAGUCAUAGAGACUUCACCAUCUACAAGACCCUGUUUUGUUUAAAAGAUCAGCAGCAGAGUUCUAUCUCUAGGAAUCCAGUUAAAGGAAAUAAACUCAAAGUGAAAUGAAAGAUCAACAAUGUCGGAAAUGAUCAGCAGCAGAGUUCUCUUGUUUUAAAUUCAAAGAAAAUAAGACAGAUUUUGCAAAUGCGAUUGAUGGUGUACAGGCCCAUGCAUAUUCCAGAAAGAUAAGUGCUCUGGGAUUAUUUUUUUCCCCUUGUAAUACUCGGAGACAAUACAGACCUUUGUGGUCACUUCAUGUUUCACGACCUCACGCUAACAUUCAUACAGUUAAAAACAGUUUCCAGAGACACCUCCGCACAUUUUCACUAGACAUAUCAACUCUGACUAAUUCACUAUCAAACAACACCAUCAUUUUGCUUUUACUAAAAUAAAAACACCACAUGACUACCCUUGUGUCUACUUUAUUGCUUAAAAAAGUAGGAUUCGAAGAGCAAAGAUACUUUAUCGAUCUAACACUUCAAAGCUCGUAACCUGGGAACCUGGCCUGCGACGGGUCGACCAUGUCAAGGAAGAGAUAGGCCAUCCCUCCAACGCCUUCAAACAAGGAAUAAGGACUAUCACCUCCGUGCAUUUCUCCUUUUGAGAGUAGCUUGUGGCCUUUGUCAAGCAGAAAGCUGGCGAAGGCUUUUGCCUGGUGCAGAUACUCGUUCCGUCCAGUAGCUCUGUAAAGGGAGAGAGAAACAUAUGCAUUGCCACUGAUCCCAUGACAGAUCCCCACCUGCUUGAGCAAUCCACGGUUCCAAACCACCUCUGCUGCAGCUUCACCAGCCUCCAGAAACUCUCUCUCCCCAAAAACCUGUGUUUCAUUCAUAUCCCAGAGAUCAAUAAUGGUCUAGAAAGCAUUAAAAGGAAUCAUCACCUCAGCUGCCUUCACAAGCGUCCCGGGAGCUCCAUGACACCAAUGCACAAGAAAAUCUCUUCUCCUAUCCUCUUCACUAGCAGGGUAGUUUCCAUUUGGAAACCGAUUGUUGAUGAUAUACUUAAGGGUUCCCCGCACAUCCUCUGCCACGUCUGGCUUCAGCUGAACAUCCAUCAAGACAUGCAUGAUACCAGCAAGCCCAUGUGCUGCGCCCCAGUACCUUUGGCCAUACCAUUGAAACAUAAGGGGCGAGUUUCCAUUCUUAGCCAUUGAUCUACCUUCCUUGAUAAUCUCCUCAGUAACUUGGCGCAGCACACUUAUUCUUUGUCAUAAAGAUAUUAUAGUGACAAAAAAGGCGACGUAUCAAAAUCUUUUAACAUCCUAAGCAUUUCACUUACAAUGGUAGUUGAAGACAAAGUUUCUGCACCAACACAUUUGUUCACAAAGAGACAAGCCCAUAGAUAACCAACUCUUCCUGAAUAAGCUGACCAGUUUAACCCCAAGUCUCCAUCACAACCUGAGAAACAGAUCAAAUGCCCAAUGGAAUGGAAUCUAUAUAAUAAGAAAGAAAGACGAUAUCUUUUGACUCCGUAACCAUAAGCUUUUGACUCUUCUCUGAAGAAGAAAAAGCUCUCAUCACUCGCUCCCUUAAACCAUCAAUCAAUUCAUGGCCGAUGUCUUCAUGAGCGACGACAAUAUCUCUGAGGCCCAUCCCCCGACUCAACAUUCGUUGGAUGGAGAUGGUGAUUUUGGAUCUGAAAAUAAUCCCGCCUCCCCCAACGGCAACGACGACGACGCGUUAUUCGCCUCCGACGUGAGUGGCGCCGGUCAGUCUUCUAUUCAUUCAAUAUGGUUGAAAAAUCGUCAUAUGGGAUGGGAGAGGAGAGAUUUAGUAUAAUUAACUAAUGUGUAUCUUGUAAGCUUACAAAUAGAUAUCAGCUUACUCCAUCAGAGUACCACAUGUCUUGUCUUCACCAUACAUUAAAUAAUCUCUCAGUGAUUUUUGAUACUGAUGUUUUCCUUCACAGCCUAAACGCCAUUCACCUUGAGGAGGAGAAGGAAAAGAAAGAGAAGGAGAUGCGCAAUCAGAUCAUAGCUGAAGCUGAUGCAUUCAGGUAGGUAAUUAAGCAGAGCUAUUAAUUAAACUCACACAACUUCAUGCAUGCCAGUUUUGAUUGCAGAGCUUAUCCCGCGUGAGGCUGACAAGAAGCCUUCUGUGACUGUUAUCCAGGGUCCUAAACCUGGGAAGCCCACCGAUCUUGGGAGAAUGAGGCAGAUUUUCCUCAAGCUCAAGACAAAUCCACCACCCCACAUGAUGCCUCCUCCUCCGCCCCCAGCCAAAGAUGGAAAACCUGCAGCGGAAACAAAAGGGGCAGAAGAAAAACCUGCAAGUGCUGAAACAGCGAAACCAGAGGUUGCUGCAGUUGCCUCGGGAGAGGGGGAGAAACCUGUGGCUGAGGCUGAGGGAGCCAAGGCAGACGUUCACGUUAAUCAUUUUGAUUCCACGUCUUAUAUUUGCAAGACUUGAGGAUUUACAGAUACUGGUUGUUUGUUGGAUGAAUAAUAUCUAUCAUAAGUUGUCUGUCAAUAGUUUGGGUGGUGUUUGAUCCAAUAAUGGUGUUUAUGCUGAAAUGUUUGUUGAAUCAAUACAAUAAAAGAAUCUAAAAAUAAAAGAUUAGAUUCUUGAGGUUUAGGAGAAAUCUUAAAGAAUCAAAUAGAAAAUGAACAUCAAAAGAGUUUAUUGAUUUAAGAUUGUAUUACAUGUAGAAUUACAAGUGUAAAUAAAUCUAACAAUCCAUAAACUCUUUGUAGAAUGUGUUCUAGGUCUAAAAUGGGAAAGAGAAUCCCCUUUCUCAUAAGGAGGAGCUCCUUAUUUAUAGAAAGAUAUGUCUAGGGUUUUCUAGCCAAAUGGGCCUAGUACAUUGUCUAAUGGGCCUUGAGGAAGGAUGUAAAUCCACCUCCAACAGUAAGUCCCCCAAGUUCGUUGGGAGAGAUGAAAUCGAUCUCUGCGAAGUUUACGAAUAGGGUUUAUUAGACAAUGAACUAGACACAUUCAUGCCUAUGACGGUUUAGGCGAGUUUAUUUCGAACUUGUGCCUAGUAAGAAGCGAGUUUGCUUUAAACUCGUGCUUAGCGAAAGACGAGUUUACUUGACUCAUGCUAAGACAGAGGCGAGUUUACUGAGAGCUCGUGCCUAGUGGAAGGAGAGCUUCUGUAAACUCAUGCCUAGCCAAAGACGAGUUUUUGUAAACUCGUGUCUAACAAUAAGCGAGUCGAAUGCAAAUUUGUGCCUAAUAAAAAGCAAGUUCAAUUUAAACUCGUGCCUAAAAUACACGUUUACCGAACUAUUGCCGACCCGAAGUCUCGUGUUGAGAUUGUGUGUAUCGAGCAAGUUGUUGGCUUGUGUGUUCGUCAGGUUAUGAUGAUGUUGAGAAACGUGCUGCCUUGUGCCAUUUGUACUGCUCCCGACAAGCUCGUAGGUGAAAGCUCAUCUUUCGAAGCGUGAGAACAUGAUGGUGACAACUGCUUGUUGAUUCUCUUUGGCCCAGAAUCGCUGGCUCGCAAAAAAUAUGAUCAUGGUCAGAUCAAUAUAAACCACAAGACAUAACCAACUUUGGCAUAAUCAAUAAACAAGCUGCUGACUUGUUUUUGCUUAGUGUUCACAAGUUGAUUUGAUACUAGUAAUAUAAUAAUUACUAAGCAAUGUGCAUGUCACGGAUAAUAAAGCAAGCACCACUGAGUUUAUAAAAUUUAAAUAUUCGAGAAACUUAUCUUUGAGGAUAAGUAGUCGCGAGUUGUUGGAGAUGAGAACUUAUCUCUUCCUUUUUUUUUUUUUUUUUUGAAGUAGAUGACCCUGAGCUGAGGCCAGGCUGGUCAUGGUCCAUCAUAUGCUCCUCUGUUUUCUUCUCUCUCUCGUUUUGGAGCUUGAACAGAGCUUGAAGCUGCUUUGAGCUGCUCUAGAGGUCAUGUCUGAGCUUGAGCUUGUUCCUCUUCUCAUCUUGUGGUCGUCUCUGUUCGUCAAGCUCGUGGCGAGAUGAUAUCGGAGAUGACACGUUCAGUCCCACCACCGAAACCCGACCAAACACAUGGUAGCUUUACUAGAUCAGUCUCGAUGAUCGUAUCCGUAUCCGACGUUCUUGGGGUGUCACAGCAGCAGAGUAAACUCCAGUCAAAACGUCUCUGCAUCUCAUGAAUCUUCUUCUCGAGAAAGGCCAGAACUCGAAGAUGCCUCGACUGUUAUCCUGUGGAGAAUCUAGUCUGUAUAAUCAAGAACAAGGAGGAGCUGAUCGUUGUUGUGAUCGCCAUGUGAGAACUCGUCUAGUGGUCUUGAAGCUUUAAAAACUUUCUUCACAAACUCAUGAACAGAGUCUUUCUCGAGAAGAUAAUCAAGAGACACUGAUCCAACUUUCUCUUCUACUGUUUUAUCCUCCAGAUGGAUUCUCUCAAGGCUCUUCACGAGAAUAUGUUUUGUGCCGACACGUUGGUUGCGGCAAACUGGUUGUCGGGAAGAGAAGCUUGAUGUAAGGAAGUUGAUAAGCUUUAUUCUUGGCUAGGGGUUUGAAGUCAGCGAGUUCAGUUACAUGACAAGUUCAGAGCUUUAUUUGUGAAGUCGAGCUCAGGCUCCUUCACUUCCAAAGAAGAACAAGAACAGAUGAUGGAGCUUAGAGAAGCGCAUCAUUUGAUGAAACAAAUGACGAGGUGAUGAGGGGGGCGAGGUGAUGAGGGGGGCGAGGUGAUUGGUUCGUCAUCUCCGCUCUUGCCGGAAUCAGACGGUUGCAGGAAGCGACAAGUUCGUCCAACAAGAAAGUCUCGAACUUUGGAAGUUCUUUGGUAACAUCAACAGCAAGGCUUCGUCAGAGAGCUUCAUACCCUUCGUUCGCUGUGUCGAUCGAAUGUUUCCGUAGCUUCUCUCAACUUUCUCUCACUCUGUCUCUUCGUUCGCUGUGAUGGUGAAGAUGGUGGACUUAUUGUACGAGCUCGUCGUCUCGUGGAUCUCUCUUGCCUGAGCUGAGAUGGUGGUGAGCUCAAAGCUGGUGACUUUACCAAUUAGGUCCGAGAGCUGGUCACGGAUCGAGAUCGUCGAGAUGAAGAGAAGCCUCUGAACAGAGAUUACAACCCCGAUACCGUACUUCUCCACCGCGAACAGCUUCUUUGUGAAGAGCUGAGGAUGCGACCCCGUUACUCUCCGCCGCUCAGUUUCUUCGCCAUUGGAUUUGAUGACUUGGAGCAGAUCGCCACCGUCUGUGUGUUGCUCCGUCGUCGUCGGGAUCUCGCCGGAGGGAAUGACGAGGACGAGGUGAUUAUGAAGCUUGUUGGAUCUAAUUUGGGUUUCUCUCCUCAAAAGAUCAUCUUUUUCUUUGAGCCCAAACCGCCUAGGUUGUUGCAGGCGAAGAUGGAGAGUCCCGGCCUAGGUAUCGACGUCGACGUCUCCUGUCUCGCUAGCCGCAACGGAGGGAUCAAAGACUCGUGGAAGAUCGGUUACGAAGCGACCAAGAACAGUCUCGUCGCCGGCAAAAGCGAUCUUUACGUCCAGGAUCGUGAGACCAACGGCUUUCUUCAAGAGUUUCAGUGGACCCGUCGAGAUCUGCUCCGACGGGAAGCUUUACGUGAUGUUCGGAGACGACAAGCUCAGAGUCUCAGUAUUGGGCUCGUUGGUGGGCCUUUAGUGACAUCAACCGCAGCGCUUCAUGAAAUGCUUCCUCCUUUACCGAGAAGACUUGCGGUCAAGCUCGAUCUAAGAUUUUCUCCAGUUUGAUAUGAUUUUAAGAUAGUUCUCCUUAGUCCCCUCCUUCUAGCGCCAACUGUUUGAUCCAAUAAUGGUGUUUAUGCUGAAAUGUUUGUUGAAUCAAUACAAUAAAAGAAUCUAAAAAUAAAAGAUUAGAUUCUUGAGGUUUAGGAGAAAUCUUAAAGAAUCAAAUAGAAAAUGAACAUCAAAAGAGUUUAUUGAUUUAAGAUUGUAUUACAUGUAGAAUUACAAGUGUAAAUAAAUCUAACAAUCCAUAAACUCUUUGUAGAAUGUGUUCUAGGUCUAAAAUGGGAAAGAGAAUCCCCUUUCUCAUAAGGAGGAGCUCUUUAUUUAUAGAAAGAUAUGUCUAGGGUUUUCUAGCCAAAUGGGGCUAGUACAUUGUCUAAUGGGCCUUGAGGAAGGAUGUAAAUCCACCUCCAACAGGUGGUGAGAAUGUCGUGAUUGUGUGCCAUGUUAACAUUGUUCUCCUAGCUGACCUGACGGUCCGGAAAAUAAUGGCGUGGAUGCACGUGGUGGUGAGGUCUAGUUGUUUCGUCUGUUUCCAGUCACUCUAAAGGUAUGUAGGAGCAUGUUAAAGAAUUUAUAAUGCCUCCCCUCAGUGAGAGAAAUGAAGACAUUUGGGAAAUUAUUACAUCGAAAGAGUCCCCAAGUUGUUCUCAUUGGAAAAAGGCGUGGGGCUAGCAAAAGAGUUGGAAGAGAAAGCAAUGAGAUUUUGCACACUGUGGUAGCUAUUAUUUAUGCAUUUGUAGGCUGUCUCAUUAUAUAAUAAUGUCCCACAAAUGACACUAAAUAUGAUGAUAAUACAGUACUUUACUCCUAUCGCCUUUUACAAGGUUUAGAAGCAAAUAAGAAAAAAUAUUAAAAAAAGGAUUACAUAAAGAGUAGGUCCAACAUUAGUAAGUAGUAAGUACUAUAGUAAGUAGUCACAGAAUCAAGCUCUGAUGGCUUCCUUCACCAACACACAUAAACACAACCCCAAACAAAACAGAAAAAGAAAAACGAGGGAAGAGGGAGGAGAGCAUCCUCUCACUCUCACUCACUCAGUAUCCUCACCGAUUCUCUCUCCCAACAAAAAAGAAGUGAGGACAGAGAAAUGGGGGUGGGGAGCUUCAGUUUAGUUAGAGGACAGGGGAGAAGUUGAGGCGGGAGGUGUAAGUAGCUUUGGGAACCCAUUUUUUGGGGAUGACGUCAGCUGCGGAGAGCGUUUUGUUGUUUGACAAAGUGGUGAGCUUAACGGAGAGUGGUCCCUUUAGUGGUCCUCCGACGAUGCACCAGUUUGCUCCCCAUAUGUGCUUCAUUGCUAUCCACUCCUUCGACCCCGCCUGCAUUACAAAAAAAAACUAACAAUAAAGAAAGAAGAAAAAGAAGGAAUUAUAAAAAAAAAACAAAAAAAAAAAAGAGAAUGCCAAUUAAAGGAAUAUACAUACUUGACGAAUGUGCAUAGAGCCAAUGUCACCUUCUCCGUCUUCAUACUCAAUGAGAAGAGAUAACCAAUAAGCUGUUGAUCCUGCGUUCACAUGGAAUGCUAUGUUCUUCUCUCUGUAUUUGCAUGCCGUCCUGUUUUUUUCACCAACUAGUUUAGCUCAGUGUUAUUUAUAAAAUAAAAAAAAAGACAGACAACCAAGUGUAGUGUGCGUGUCAGAGCAUCCAGACUUGUGUGAAGUCAUGUAUAGUCAACGGUCAAACUAUGGGACCAUCGAAAACCAGAACGCCGUUAAAGUUAAACUUAUUUGUUUACUCCUUCCAAUGUAAUAAAAUAAAAUAAGAUAAUACAUACACACACUCAUUUGUUCGUUAGCAUUUAGCAGUCAUUGAAAAAACGAAGGAAAAGAGGUUACCGGCGAUAGAGGAGGGAGAUGAGGCCGCGGUUGCGGAUGAUGCCGGAAUGGCCGGGGAUAGCCAAAUGGCCAAAUGCGGCGCCACUAAGGUCAAAGUGAGUGUGCUUUGCUCGAGCAGAUGGUCCUGACGGUGACUGGUCUGUGACAAUUAUUGUGACUGCUCUCUUUGAGCAGAUGGUCUUGUCCAGACACCUGACCUUGUAGCAAGCACCGCAGCCUUCGCCGCUCUUGAACAGCAACGGACUCACUGCUCCAACGCGAGCCUUGAACGGCUUCACGUCCACCAGCGACCCAUACCCGCAUGCUCCUCCUGCAGUUUCAUUAUUAUAUUGUUUUUGGUUUCUCAAUAAAAGCCUAAACUUUUAAUUUGUUGGAGUCAAAAAAAUCAAGAGCAAGUAAAAGAAAGAAGAGGGUGUAGGCGGUUGUUACCGCUGCUGCCAUCGCCCUCAGGACUUCCGUACCAGGUGGCCGUGGCGGGGAGCCAAUGUGGGGCUGAUCUGUGGCGAUUAGAGUGAGAGGUGGAUGCGUCUCCUCUCGGCAGCAGCUGCAAGAACAAGAAGCAGAGUGUCGGUAGGAGCUGCAUUUCCACCGGCUAUACCACACUUCUAUUGGUGAGCAAGCAGAAUCUAAAUGGAGUGAGAGAGAGGGUGUGUGUAGUUUGGGCGUUAAAUAGAAAAUGGGGGUAAAGGAAAGAGGAGGAAGCCUUUUUGCAUCAAAUCAAAAUGCAUUGUGUUUGUGCCAGUUAUGACCCUGAGUCCUUCUCCUUAUUUACGAAAGGUAUGCCAUUCAUGGACCCACUGACAGUUAGGGCCUCGAUUCCACACGAUCCCGUAGGGUAAUGCAUGUUUAUGCAAUUAUUUAUAAAAAGAUUCGGCCGUUGAAGUCUUCUUUUGGGAGAAAGAUUCUUCUUGUGCUUCUGCUUAAGAAAAAGAAUCCGUUGUUCUCUUCUUGUUACUUAAGUUCUUUAUUCGAACAGGUAAUAAUAAUAUGGUCGAACUGGUUGAAUAUGUGCUGAUAUGUGCAGGGCCGGCCGAAUGGUUUCAUGGACCCUGGGACAAACAAAAAUUUUAAUUUCCAAACUAUUAUUUUUUAAAAAAAAAUCUGAUAGACAUAGUUUUUUUUUAAAAUACCAGAAUUAUUUUUAAAAAUAAAUUUAUGGAAAUAAAAAAAAAUUCAUAUAAGAAAAAUUUGGGUCCCUCUUCUUAUUUUUAAUAUAAAAAUAUAUGUAUUUUUUUUAAAAAACGAGUCCUUAUCUAUUAAGAAAUAGGGGGAGAAUGGAUUGGGUCCGGGCGAUCGCACCGUUCGCCUCCUUGUCUAAGCCUGCCCUGGAUAUGUGCCGCUCAAUAGUAUGUAUCAUAUUUCACUUGUUGGGACAACAUUGAAUUCACUAGCUAACGGAUUUGUCUUCACAUCAUUGAACUCAUUGCUCGCUAGUAUAUAAACUUAAUACUACAAGUUAUGUGUACUACUUACAACAACAAACAAACAUCACCUUCUUCAUGCAUCUCUGAAGAAGAAACAAAAAAUCUUUAUUAAAAGAUUGGUCAAGGUCACUGAAAGGAGCUAUAGAUCAAUAACAUCUUUCAAUAGACACGAUAAGAUUGGAGAAACAAAAUCUUGUUCGCCAAUCUUUUUCCCACAGACACAGCGACAGCGCAUCAACCAUUUCUACAAUAUAAAAAUAGUAUCAUUUUUCAUAACUGUUUCUGAGUUUCAUACUUUCUUUUAACCAAGUAACUAACAACUAAUCAUACCUCAAUAAGGCCAUUAAUCACUUUGAUUUCAUUUUCCGUCUACAUCUAUUGUUAAAAAAAAAAUGAUAUUGCAAUUGUAAUUCCUAUUUUUACGGUUUGUUGUAUUAGGCUGCACAUGACAAUAUGACAUAACUAGUGCCUACGCCACAGUCCACAGUCCUUAAGAGCACCAGCAUUAAUGAAAUCCCGGUUGGGGUUCAUAAUUUGAUUUUUUUAUUAUUUUUUUUUUCGUUUAAUUUUUUUGUUUAAAAAAAAAAAUUGACCAAUAGCGGGCCGCCACGUGGCGUGGAGCCCGCUGAACAGUAAUGAUCUGGGUUCAUCCGGAAGGAGCGUGGCGAGAUAGAGUCAUAACUGUAGCAGAUUAUAAUUUUUUUUCUCGCAUGUGAAAUCCUCUUAUGAUUCCCUGGUGCGCAUGGUCUUACUUUUGAUUAUACGGCUCUUCUUAUUCUCUUUUUUUUUUUUCUUUUGAAUUUACAAAGAAAACGAUUCUCUUUGGAUACAACUUCAGUAGGAACUAUAUUCUAUUGUCAAUUACAAUCCAACUUAUAAAGUAUGAUGAUGCCAUAAUAUGGUAGUUGAAACCUAGUCCAAAAAUUAAUUACUAGUAGAUAUGCUUAUUUUGUACGUACGGUGCUUAUGUAGGAAAAGUUUGUCUAGAGAAAUGCAGCAUAUUUUUUUUUUUUUUGGUUAACUAAAGGUAGAUUUUGUUUAUGAUAAUAUAUAAAAUUAAUUUCUUAAUAUAAAUCAUGAUUGUUGGAUGUAUGUAUGCCGUGUGUGCAUUAGCAAAAGACUGAUGAAAGAUAUUAUUGACAACUUCAAUAAUGGAAAAAUAUAAAAUGGAGAUACGUUAUGGGAAUGAUAUACUCUUUAAUCAAAGUGGAAAAGUCAUAUUGUAUUAUUGAGAAUGACAACAAGAUAAAGAUGAUUUUGUAUUUUAUGAGACUACAAAGUCACAUGAGAUGAUGAAGAGGGGUAUCAAUAAAAACAGUUCAUAUGCGUAUCUUACAGUUCACCAUCACAUUCUCAAUUAAUUCCUUCUUCUCAUUUUUACACUACUAGAAGACUUUAUUCACUUCCUCCCAUGUGCCCACAAGGCAAUAAGAUUACUCAUCGAAUACCAAUAUUGGUGUUGGAUUAUUUAAAGUGUUUUUUUCCAAAAAAAAAAGUGUGAACACCUAAAGAAGACUGGCUUCAUAAGAAUCUUUUUAACAGCGAUGAUCAUGAGACGCUAUGGUAGCUCAAACAAGGGUCACUGAUGUUCAUGAAGACUUGGAACAAGAUAAAUAAAAGUUAUAGGCAGGGCCAAGAAAUCCCGAGUAGUUCUGUUGUAAACCAGUUGGUACAGAACCAGUAUCGACAGGACAAGUCACAAAAUUCCUAGCGAUGUUCAUGAAGAGUGGACAUUGAUGCUUGUGGAAGGGCAUAGCAUGAGAUACAGAGGGUUGGAACCAAACUGAUCACACAUUGUAGUUUUUAAAAUGCAUAUGAGAGUGUGUGUAUAUGUGUAUGCAAUUUUUUUUACAAGAGUAAUGGUUUGCUGGGUGAGAUAGAUAGAUGCAACAAAAGUAAGUAAUAUAUUGAAAGAGGUGAGUCUUGGCUAUGUUGCUUGUCUUGGUCUACACCUGUUUUACCGGUUGGCUCUUUCAUUAAUCCUAACAGUCCCCGAAUCCGGUUUGGGUCCAUAAUAAGGUUCUCCAACAACGUAUGGAUGAGGCUGGCGAGCAUCCCGGAGGAGUGCAACUGUGCUCACAUCGUACUCAUCGUCACUGUCAUAAUGCCGGUGAGGCCCAAGAGCUUUGAGCAACAUGGCCAAUAGAACUGAUGCACCCUGCGAAACGAACAAAGAGGAGCGCUGUGAAACAUUGCAAACUUGAAAGGGAGAGUAAAAAGGUAAAGAAGCUAAAAAGAGACCUGGACAGAGACAAUGGAGAGACCAAUCCAUCUGCAAAUCUUAUAGUUGGACUCGACGAACUUGGAGAAACGGUAGAAGGCACCAGUUGGAUCCUCUGGAAAGUCCUGAAAGAAAGCUUCCAGAAGAAGAUUAAGUUAAAAAAGGGAAGAUUUAACAAAAAGAAGAAGAAAAAAAAAAAGAGAAGAGAGAAUAAUAAACCUGUUUCCAGUCAGGGUUUAGAAAGGUAUCGGCGAUGACAGCACCUUCAACCAUAAUAAGCAAGACGAUGAAUCCCAUAUACUGAAACCAACCAAAAAAACAAUUCCAUUAAUUCACAUCAAAAGAAGAAAGAAUGGCUUAAUAAGAUGAAAGGAAAAAGAAGUAGCUUACAAAAUAAAGACAGCAACCAUUAAUGGUUUCAGCAGCGAUGUGGCCAGCGCAAGUGACAAGACAGAGAAGAGCCCCGAGACAAAGAAAAGCAUAAAUGAACCUGGAGAGCGAGAUUGGCUGAUUUUAUCAUGACAAUUGACAACAGAAAGGAUAGUUCAUUUCCAGCAAGAUGAGUAACUCGUUUCAUCAAAGUUGAGACUUGAGAGACAAAUCCUAAAAGGAUGAUGAUAUUAUUUUUCAUAGCCUAACAGGUAUGAUGAGGUCCCAGACAUAACAUCAAACACCUAAAGCUAACAGAAUCUAUAUAUCUCAAAAAAAAAAAAAGAGAGUCAAAUAAAAUAGGACCACGAGUAAUCAUCAGAUACAUAAAGAAAGAAGGACAAGGAGAAUUAGGUGGUACCAAGGAAGAGGGUGAGAGAAAGGGAGAGAUCCAGUUUGUUGUUGCCAUUGCCUGAUGAGCCAAACAGCGUAGAGGAUCACGGCGACCCCAACCAUCCCAAGAAGGGAAUUCACCAGCUUCAGCAUCGACUGUAAGCAGCUUCUCACCAUCCUCCCCAUCUUUUUUUCAACCCCCCCCCCUGGAGACAGACGAAGAGACCUGAUUAAUUUAAUUUUUAAUUUUUAAUUUUUAAUUUUUCUCCGUCGGUGGGAGAAGAGAAAUCGAAAAGAAAGAACCAACCUCUCUUUCUAAAUCCCUAAUAAAAUCCAAUCAAGCACGAAACUUGUUUCUUUCUUCUUCUUUUUUUUCCUAACAAAAAUAUAAAAUAAAAUUAUAUUAUAUUUAUUGGAAAAAAUUAAAAUAAAUGGACAAUUAUUUGGAGACCACAGAAUUGAAUUGAAUUGAAUUGAAUUGAAUUGAUCCAGCAGGGUUGGUUGGUUACUUUGCUUGAAAUGAAAUGAAACGAAGGUUGACUGACUCUAAGGUCAAAGGCCUUGUCCUCCAUCCAUCCAUGAUUCUAUCCCUCACGCCGGUGGUGGCUAGUUCUUCCCUCCGACCAUAUUCAGUGUUUCACCCUCUCUCCUCCUCUACCACUUGUCGUCGGUUGCGAUCCAUCCCUUUCCCAUCUCUCAGAUGCUCUUGUCUCAGUAGCAAACCCACUCCCCAUGUAAUGUUCUAACUCUGUUUUUUUCUUUCUUUCUCCAUUUUAACUGAGGAGGGUUUUCUAAAAUUCAUGGAGAAAGAAUAGGGGUUCUCGGUUUUGGCAUCAGAGAUUCCGUGGGAAGACAAGAACGUAUGGACCACGUUCGCUCUUUACAUGUUUUGCCUCCAUAUUCCUCUCAGUUUUGGUGGUUUAUCCAUCCUUGCUCGCACCCUCCACACCCCUCUUCUCCAUCCUCAGACCCAAGUCACUCCCUCACUCUCUUCUUCUAUAUGGUAUAUAUCCUUAAGUCAUACUGAAAUUCAUGGUGUGGCUACAAUGUGCAGGUGCUAUCACUUGUGCUUCUCCAGUUGCUCGAACUUUCACUCACCCUCUUCCUUCUGAGGACCACCGCCAAGCCUCAAUUCAAAUCAUUCAACUUUCUUAAGGGUACUAACAACAAUGUCUCAACCCAAGGGAGAAACUGGGUGGUUGGUUCAGCUUUGGGUUUUGGAACUCUUGUUGCUUUUAUCUUCCUCACUUCACUUGUAGCUCAUCAACUCUUUCCUUCUCAGGUCUCUCUCUCCUGAAUCUUUGGUAUCAUUUUAGCAUAGCAUAAGACAAUGUGUGGUUUGAUCUCUCAGGAUGUGCACAACUCUGAAUUGGAUAAGAUUAUUGAAAGCGGGGAGGUGUCGAGAAUUGGGUGUUUUGUUCUCUACUGCGUCGUAGCUCCCAUACUUGAGGAGAUUGUGUACAGACGAUUUCUACUGAGCUCCUUAGCGUCCAGAAUGGAAUUGAGGAAGGCCCUUGUGAUCAGCUCAGGAGUAUUUGCAGCAUCUCACUUCUCUGGGGAGGAUUUUGUGCAGCUGUUUGGGAUAGGGUGCGUUCUCGGGGGAUGUUACAGCUGGUCAGGGAACUUGGCCUCGUCCGUGGUCGUCCACUCCUUGUACAAUGCCUUGACACUCCUCCUUGCGCUGCCUUCUUAGCCACACCACCCAAGAUGAGAAGAGGUGGGGGCCAUUUCCCUUGUCAGUUACGUCAUAUAGGAAUCUCUAUCUUUCUUUCUUUGGAAGACAGCGUAUAAACCGUGUGUGUGUAAAGAGACAAUCUUGAUCCCUUUUCAGUUUAAUAAAGUGUAUUGAUUAAUGGUAGUACAAGAAACAAAAGGUAAGAUGAGCUUAGCUUAACUGAGAAGAAAAAAAAGGCUUUACCAAAAGGAUGUGAUAGGUUGGUUUACACAGAAGAUGAUAUAUGUAUCUAAUGGACAUAAAAUUACGUGUACAAACAUUUUUUUUAAAGAAAAACAGAGUUUAAAGCAUUUGUUAAUCGGUGUUUAAGGCAAAAAGGAAGAAGCAAAGUGUGAAACAGAAACGAGAGAAAAGAAAGACAAUCAAAACGGGUGUGUCCGUUAGUGGGUCAUGUGGUGAUGACGAAUUCACCUAGCUGAGCUGGCUAUCAUAUUCAUCGUCCAUUCAACUAGCUUUCAAAACAAAUUUACUGGCUAAUGGCUAUACUUAUUAUAUAUUCUACUUUUUUUUUUCUUAUUUUUGUUAAACCUUUAACUACCUAUAUAUAUAUGUUUUACAAACAAUUUAAGAAAAUAAAGUCGUAAAAUUAGGGAAACAAAUUUAAGAGCAAAAAUACAGAAGAGAUUAGCUUGCCUCUUCGGUGUAAAUCUCCCUGAUUUAGCUAUUAAUAAAAGGAAAAACAUAUCUUUCUAAUUCUCAGAAUAAACUCAUCACAGCUGUCAUAUCCCUUGUCUAUAGUUAUAAAUACAGGGGAUGUGGGCACAAGACGGACUUUAAUACACAAAUAUUUACGGUGCUCCUCGAGAAAAGAGAGAUAGAAAAGAAGGAAGAAAGAAAGAAAGAUGGGAGCAUUCGAGGAUAAGGUGAAGCUGAGGGCGAUAGAGCUGAAACAUCUUCUGAAGAAAGGUAUCAAAGUCGUCAGCAAAUCUUGCAAGAAGGGAUGGUCCAAAGUCAAGAACCUUAAGCGCUAAUGAUUCCUCCUUCCUUCUCCUCCGUCUCUGUCUCUGUGUGUUUCUUUCUUUCCCCUCUAGAAAAAACCUAAGUUUUGUCUUCUUCUUUUGCUGUUGUGGGUGAUUAUAUAUUCAUCUAAGUCUUUUCCUUAAUGGUGUCUUGUAUUAAUUGAAAGAUUAAGCCUAAAUAAAAUUAAAUAUGAAACCAGAUUCAGCUAUUAAAAAUUUUAAAAGAUAAUUUUGAAAACAGUAUAGUAGAAGAAAACAAGAAAAUUGUAAAAACCUAAAGAAUAAGAUAUUUCCUUUUGAAAAUGGAUUUGAACUUUGAACCAAUCCCCAAGUAGAAAAACAAGGGGAAGGUUACACGUCGGGUGGAUAAUGCUGAGUUUUAUUGGGCCGACAUAUGGGCCUCUGCCCGAUUUUGUGUCCAGCGCUAAUCACCACUGUUGCAAUUUGUAAGCAUAUAACGAAGGAUUCUAGGGUUUCUGUGGAGAG